GCUUUGAUCUCCUCCUCAUUGAUCACAACCCCUGGUUUUGGGAGGUACUUGCUCACGUUGGUGCCCUUACAGCCCCCAUCAGGAGAUGCCUCCAUCUUGAGUUCAUAAGAGAUCGACUCGACCUUGUUAGCCAAUUCGCCUACUUCCAUCAUUAACUAGCUGCACGUCAUCUUCUCCUGGUCUAGUGCAUCGAUUCUAUGCUUCACGUACUUCAGAGGACUGCCUGUACUUAAAGGGCAAUUGUGAAAUUACUAUUGUCGUUAUUAUUAGGUGGAUCGUCGAGAAUCUCUCUACUCUAGUUAAGGAUAGGCAGGAAUACAAUUGAUCUUCAUCAUCUUGCGGGUAAAUAAGGAGGUUGCAUCCUUGUGUUGAAGAAAGGAGUCCUUCAAAGCUCAAGAUGGCAUUCCAAUGAGAUAAUGUCGAUUUUGUCUUAUCAUAUUUCAAUUUUAUAUUGUCCCGCCCCUCUUUUUUAUGUACAUGUGUGUGCGAUGCUCAUAGGGAUCCAACCUAGGACUCGAUCCUCCCCCUAAUCCUUCUACCAGCGGACCACAUGCCUGUUGGCAUCAUACCUCAAUUGACUCAUCUAAUACUGGAUAUUCCCCACUUUUACUUGCAUAACAAUCUUCUAACAACUUGAGAAGAAAUAGUGCUGAGAUACAUCUUAAUCAUUAAAAUUACCUCACCUUAACCGAAGUUCAUCUGCUUGAUGCUCCCAGGGCCUCCGUCACCAUGGAUGAGCUCCAUACUCUUGAUGGCUUGAGGCAUGAGCUUGGGCAUGAGAGUAUCACCGUCAACGAUCAUUGCCUUGAACAACCUUGGCGCUGGGACGGGGUUGCUGAAUUCUUCGGUGAAUGUAAUUGGAGCACUCAUGAUGGAUCUGAUGGGUUUAGUCUAUGACUUGAUGGGCCUAAGUGGACCCGUCUGCCCAUGUUGGGCCUAAGAACCCCACCCGUAGGUUAAGGGCCCAUGGAGGAAAUGUUGCGUCUUUUGGAGGAGGUGUUACGUUGAGGGGAUGCGUCCUUUGGAAGAGACGCUUCGAGGGAAAGUAAAAAGAAAAAGGAACAUACCUUUUGGGGUACGUAUGUGAAGACUCUCUCUCUCUCCCUAAUACGUUUAAGUCUCUCUCUCCCAAAAAGAAUGUAAGUUUUCUCCCUUUUUUGAAGCAACAGUACGCUCUUCGAUAGACCGGAUCAGGAUUCUUCCUCGAACUUCAACAUUGGUGUUUAAUCUAUGGACAAUAAGGCACGCUCGAUUCCGUGGUGUAUCUUUGAUUGGUGAUACAUGUAAUUCUUGGGCUCGUCUUCUACAUUUGUUUUAGGGGUUCGAUUUAGUGUUGAAUUUGUUUUAGGGAAUUUGUUAUUCCCAACAUUGGUAUCAAAGCAAUCGUUCAUGUUUCCUGAUCCCUUUUCAUGGUUAUGAUUUGUUUUUGAUUGAAUUUUCGUGAAACACCGCCAAUAGCCGAUCGAGGACGGAAAAAUCCCGACACCCACGUACUUUCACCCUGUUUUGUGAUUUUCUACAAGUCGAAAUUCAUUUUUGAUAGCGUAGGGUUGAAGCUCUUGUUGAUACGAGAAAAACGAGUCGUGGAUCGCUGCCGGGUGCUGUCGGAUGCGCCCCCACGCGCGGUCGGAACGAAGCAUGUGCUGAUUCGGGCGCCCUCGGGCGUGUGUCGCACGCGCCGUUUUGGCCCCAGGCGCAUGUGACGCAUGCGUGGAGACCUAGCGUGUGCCGCGCACGCGCCAGCUGACGUUAUAGUGACGUUAGCCAGGCACGUGCGUGGCAUGUGCCGGUCGAUUUGUCCGACCCGGCUUGACCUGAUCGGACCUGACUCGUUGACCCAUUGACUUCAACCCAUUUGACCUUUGACCGUUGACUUCGACCAUUGACAAAAAAAAAAAAGAAAAAAAGAAAAAAGAAUGUGUUUCUUUUUCCAAUUAAGUCUAUGUGGAUUAUAUGUAAUCCCUUAUUUGUUCUACAUUUGUUGCAGGAACAAUGCCUCCCCUUAAGUUGUGCACACCUAUUCGCGCAAUUACCGAUGAACAAAAUAAAAUGCUUUCUAAGUUGAUAGCUGAGCUGACUGAUUAUCGAUGGGAGAGUGGCGACUUAAUUGAUCAUGUUCUUGAAGUCAAUGGGAAAAUACAAAAUGUCAUAUGGAAUGGUCGUCCCAUGCCACAAUCUUAGAUGGUGCGAUUUUUUAUGAACAAUUUUCCACCAGAAUGGCAAGGAGUGUUGAAUUGCUUAUGGGAAGUCAACAGAGCUACUUCGUAUAGGGUUCUUGUGAUAGCUUUUAUAGAUGAAUAUUACCGAAUUGUUACAAAAGAAAAGAUCAAGAAGUUGAACAAAAAAUGAUCUUUCCCAGUUCAUAUAUUGACUUGGUGUUAGAUGUUUUGACUAGUCUUUAUUUAGUAUGCUUUAUGGACAUAUUAUGUAAAUGUUUUCUACCUAGUUGUUGUUGGUAUAGCAACUGAUAUGUUAGUUGCAUUAUGUGAAAGCAUUAUUUUUCUAUCAUUAUUGGAUGUCAAAUAUUAUUUGUUUAUGUUAAUUGUUAGCUGUUGUGGGUAGUUCAUAGAAGUUUUUGUAGCUUCAAAGAAUUUAUUUUUCAUAAAAGAUUAUAUUAAUAAUAAUUCCAAGUUAGGAUUUUUGGAUGAUGAUUGGAAACAUAGUGACAUUUUGAUUCUGAAACCUUACUUGAAAUUAUUCAUUAAUAUGAUGGGUUUGUGCAAAAUGGAUGCAUAAAUGAUAUGCAUUAAUAAUUCGUGCAUAUAUGCCUGAUAUGUUUAGAUCAAUGGCUUUAGCCACAAAGAGCAUAGUUGCUGAGCUAAACAAAAGUGAGAAGCUCAAUAAUGAUAACUAUGAAAUAUGGCACAUGAAAAUCCAGUAUGUGCUAGAAGAGCAAGAGGCACUAGAAGCUCUUAACCUGACCAUGGUAAAACAUGAAGAAGAAAACACUGCGCAGUAUAAGAGAGACAAUGAUGCAUUUGCUACAUGGAAAAGAAAGAACUCCCUUGCUCGCAUUACGUUGUUGAGUAUCAUGGAAAAUGGCGUCAUGCGAGAGUUCAGGCGUUUUGAGAAUGCCAAGGAAAUGUGGGAAGCGUUGGUAGCAAGAUUUGGUCAUACUUCGGUGACUAGACUGAGACAACUCACUAUUAGGUUUGACUCUUACAAGAAGCCUCAUGGUUAGAUUAUGAAGCAACACCUUAGAAAGAUGUCAAACAUGAUUAAUGAGCUGAAAGAUGCUGGCUAUGUCCUGACUGAUGAGCAGUAAAUGCAAGUAGUGAUUCGUUCAUUGCCUUAGAGUUGUGAGCAUAUGAAGGUGUGCCUAACCCAUAAUGAGAAUAUCAAAACCUUUGAGGAUGCGGUGCGUCAUCUUGAGCUAGAAGAGGAUCGCCUCUUGGCGGCUAAGCUUGAAACUGAAAUUUAUCAUGCUGGUUCUAGCUCACAUGGAGCUUCGAGCUCCAAGCGCAAACGUUCUAACUAGUUCGAUAAAAGGAAAGGCAAGGGAGCAAGUUCUUCAAGGAAGAAACCUAAGCUUGACCAACAUGAAAGAGGAAAGCGUCCUCGAAUGAAGAAGCUACCAAGGGUGAAGUGUUAUAAUUAUGACAAGAAUGGUCACUAUGCUCGUGACUGUCGUGAGCCAAAGAAGAUAUACACCCCUUGUAUAUUUCAGAACUUUGCUUAUGUGUCAAGUUUUGUAUUCUUAACCGAGUUUAAUCAUUUGUGGACUGUGGAUUCAAGAGCGACAAACCAUGUAGAGAAGGAUAGAAAUCUUUCGUGAAAUUCCGAUGAGUACCAACUGGAACUAAGUGGAUCUAUGUAGGAAACAAUUCUAGAGCAGAAGUAAAAGGGAUUGGCACCUGCCAAUUGAACAUGCGUGGUGGAUGCACUUUGUUCCUACAUGAUGUAUUGUAUGCUCCGGAGAUUUAUUGGAAUUUAGUGUCUAUUUUAGUGUUGGUUAAGCUUGGUUUUAAUAUGAACUUCCAUAAUAGUGGUGUGGAUUUGUAUUUGGAUACAAAUUACUAUGGUUGUGGUUAUUUUCUAGAUGGUUUCAUUGUAUUAAAUAUUGACUAUGGUAAUGCUAAUGUUUGUUAUUCCAUUUUCACGUCCCAUAAUUUAUAUGAUAAUGAUGUGAAUGUGUGGCAUGCUAGACUUGGUCAUAUUGGCCAACAACGUAUGAAUAGACUAGCCAAAUAGGGCUUGUUGGGCAAUAUUGAAAAAGUCGAUUUGCCCAUAUGUGAGCAUUACCUAGUAGGGAAAACGACAAGGAAACCAUUUGGAAAAUGUAAAAGAACUGAAUUUCCUUUGCAUUUAAUUCAUUUUGAUGUUUGUGGUCCGAUGAAUGUGAGAGGAAGGAAUUGGGCUGUUUAUUUCAUCACAUUUAUAGAUGAUUAUACUUGAUUCAGAUAUGUCUAUUUGAUUUCUCAUAAAUCUGAAGUAUUGAGUUGUUUCAAAAAGGUUUAUGAACUUGGUAGAAAAUUAAUUAGACAAGAAAAUAAAAGUAUUGAGAUCCGAUUGAGGUCGAGAAUAUUUGUUUGAUGGGUUCAGAAAGUUAUGUGAUAAAAAAGGAACAGAAAGACAGUUGUCUAUUCCAUAUACUUCUCAACAAAAUGGUGUUGCGGAGAGAAGGAAUAGAACCCUAUUGGAAAUGGUUAAGUCCAUGAUAGCGCAUGCUAACUUACCUAUAACUUUUUGGAGUGAUGUGUUAUUAAUUGCUGCCUAUAUAUUUAACCGAGUGCCUUCCAAAUUAGUUACUUCCAUUCCAUAUGAGUUAUGGACAAGUAGAAAAUCGGACUUAAGUUUUCUUAAACCAUGGGGUUGUGCUGCCUAUACUCAUGAGCCCUCUCAUAAGUUUAGGAAAUUGGGUCCCAGAGGAAAGAAGAAUAUUUUCAUAAGAUACUUUGAAUACUCGAAAGGGUAUGUGUUCAUAGGUGAGUAGGAAAGUUGAAGUAUAACUGAAUUCGAAUCAUGAGAUGUCACAUUCUUAGAUAAUGAAUUUCCUAAGAAUGGCGAAAUAGGUGGGGAUUACUCCCUAUUUGAAAUCUUGGAUCAAGAUGGAGUUCGUCCAAGUGGGAGUAACAUGAGAAGUGAUGAAUUUAAUUCAACUCACUCUCAAUUACAACCACAUGAUGAGAUGAUAUCGUCAUUAUCUAAUUCGAGUGGGAGCAUGAUGAGGAAUGAUGUGCAAAUUGUACAAUCUCCCAUAUGGUGAACAAGUCACAAAAGUAUUCCCCGUCGACAUUUGACAUUGAAUGUGAAACUUUUAUGGUUGCUCCACAAGGUGAGGAUGAGCCAAGAAAUAUUAAUGAGACUCUAAAUUGCCAUAAUAAGGAAAAAUGGAUACAUGUAAUGGAAGAUGAGAUGGAGUUAAUAAAGUUGUUUGGGAAUUGGUUGAUUUUCCCAAAGGACGCAAAGCUAUUGGGAACAAAUGGGUUCUCAAAAUAAAGCGUAAAGCUGAUAGCUCGAUAGAAAGGCAUAAAGCUUGCUUUGUGGUGAAGGGGUAUAAUCAAUAGGAAUGAAUUGAUUAUGAAGAAACACUUUCUCCUGUAGUGAGAUUUACCUCAAUUUGCAUUAUGCUAGCAAUAGUGGCAAGUAUGGAUUUUAAGUUAUAUCAAAUGGAUGUAAAAACUGCUUUUUUCAAUGGAGAAUUAGAUGAAGAAAUAUAUAUGGAACAACCUACUGGUUUCAUAAUGAAAGGUUAAGAAGAAAAUGUAUGUCGACUUUUGAGAUUGAUAUAUGGCCUUAAGCAGUCAUCAAGACAAUGGUAUAUACGUUUUCAUAAUUCCAUAAUGGCAUAUGGUUUACAAUGAUUGAUGAGAAUCAUUAUGUAUAUAUCAAAAGAUCCAAAGAUCAAUUUGUGAUCAUAUCAUUAUAUGUUGAUGAUAUACUAAUUGUCGGAAGCAAUAUGGAGUUUGUUGAUACUGUCAAGAGUUGGUUAUCUUCCAACUUUGAGAUGAAAGAUAUGGGUAAGACUGCAUACAUCCUUGGAGUUAAGAUUUCAAGAGAUCGUUCGAAGAGAUCAUUAUCUCUUUCGCAAGAAACAUACAUAAAUCAGGUUCUUGAAUGAUUUCGUAUGCAAUAUUGUAAAGCCAUUAAUACUCCUAUUGCAAAAGGUGAAUGAUUGAGCCAUAGACUAUGUCCAAGGACUCUACAAGAGAAUGAACAAAUGAAACAUGUUCCUUAUGCUAGUGCUAUUGGGAGCUUGAUGUACACUAUGAUGUGUACAAGACUUGACAUAUGUUUUGUAGUUGGAAUGGUGAGUAGUUACCAAUCCAAUCUAGGUCAAGCACAUCGAAAAGUCGUUAAAAGAAUACUGAGGUAUCUGAAGGGAACUGCUGAUUACAAGCUGAAUUACCAAGAAAAGGAUUUGCGACUUGAAGGUUAUUUAGAUGCUGAUUAGGGAGGAGAUUUAGAUGAAAGGAAAUCUACCUCUGGCUUUGCUUUCUUACUGAAUAAUGGCACCAUAUCUUGGAGCAGUAAGAAGCAAACGUGCAUAGCCUUGUCCACGAUGGAAGCUGAGUUUGUGGCGUUAUCAGCAGUAGUACAAGAAGGUGUUUGACUUAAGAGAUUUUUGGAUCAUUUAUGUGUUAUUAGGUAUGCUGCAAAUCCAUUAUUGGUUAACUGUGAUAGCCAAGCAGCUAUAGCGUACACUAAAGAUCCAAAAUAUCAUGACAAGACCAAACAUAUAGAUAUCAAAUAUAAUUUUGUCAAGGAUAUGGUUGCACGAAAAGAUGUGAACUUACAGUACAUAUCUACGCAUAGAAUGGUAGCAGAUCCUAUGACAAAGCUAAUACCUAGAGACGUGUUUUGUGGUCAUGUAAAAUCUUUAGGACUGCGUAGAGGCUGAUGUACUGAAUAUUGCAAUUUCCAUGAAGUGUUAACAUUUAAUGAAUUUGUGUUCUUUCAUCAUUAAUGCUUAUGAAUAUUUGUUUGACAUUUAUGCAUCUUAAUGCUCAGUGCAUUAUAUUAAGUUGAGAAAGUAUGUCGGAUAGAUAAAAGAUUAGCCCACUCACACAGGUAAUCGCCUUUAUUUACUGUGUGAUAAAUAGAGAUGAGAUGGUUUUUAAGCUUAUUAUCUAGGUGAUAAUCGAGAGUUCAAGCUUAAAAUAUAUAUGUCACCUUAACUAAGUGUUAAGAUGAGGAUAUAGUAUUUAAUAUGUCCGAAAGUAAAAUAACCCACAUAUUUGACAUUAUCUGUCUAUGACGUUAGAUGUGAGUUUUGAUGAAUUCAGUGUAUGAGUAGAUAUAUGAACUCAAGUUAGACAUUGGGUAUGUUUGAACUGUCAUCUGUACAGUAUUAAAGAUGUAGACAUACACUCAAUGGAAAAUGAGUUAAAUACCAUAACAUGUAUUUCAUACUACGUAUGCAUGAGACAACUAAUAAGAGUGGCAAAAGUUUGAUCUUAACUUUUAUGCCGUGUGAGACUCUUGAGGAAAAUAGUUUCUCAAUUUAGUGCCUUCAUGACUCUUACUUAUUCUUAAGAUUUCUAUUUAGUGUUUGCUGUCUUAGGAUGUUGCCAAUGAUCAUGAAUUGAUUCGAUCUAAUAGGACAUUUCAAGAAAAGUAAGCUGAACUGAAAUUGAGAGUUUGAAGGAAAGAGGAAGAUUGAAUUUGGAGAAUCACAUUUUAGUUUUGUAUUCACUGGUCGACCAAUUAUGAUUGUUUUUGGGAUAAUCAUAAUUGUAAAUAUAAUAUAUCAUUAUUUAAAAAGAGAUCAAGAGAAAGAUAUAAAUGUGAUCGAUCGAUUUAGGGUACUGCAUACUAAAUCUAUUCAAAGUGUGAUGCCCAUUAUGAGCUGCUAUAUAUUCCUAAUAGAUGUAUGGUAACGAGCUCCCAAAGUAUGCUGGUCGCAUGGAUUAUCCACCAGUAUGAAUGUUGUAGAGAGGUAAAGAGGAUCUUAUUCGGCUCACCAUAUGCGAGUGGGAGAUGAUGGGUUUAGUCUAUGACUUGAUGGGCCUAAGUGGGCCCGUCCGCCCAUGUUAGGCCUAAGAAACCGGCCUGCAGGUUAAGGGCCAAUGGACGAAAGAUUGUGUCUUUUGGAGGAGGUGUUACGUUGAGGGGAUGCGUCCUUUGGAAGAGACGCUUCGAGGGAAAAUAAAAAGAAAAAGGUACGUACCUUUUGGGGUACGUAUGUGAAGACUCUCUCUCUCCCUAAUACGUUUCGGUUUCUCUCUCCCAAAAAGAACGUAAGUUUUCUCCUUUUUUUAAAGCAACAGUAUGCUCCUCGAUAGACUAGAUCAGGAUUCUUCCUCGAACUUUAACAUUGGUGUUUAAUCUGUGGACAAUAAGGUACGCUCGAUUCCGUGGUGUAUCUUUGAUCGGCGAUACAUGUUAUUAUUGGGCUCAUCUUCCACAUUCAUUUUAGGGGUUCGAUUUAGUGUCGAAUUCGUUUUAGGGAAUUUGUUAUUCCCAACAGGAUCCUUCUUUUUUCUCCCUCAGAAAUCUAAUUGAAAGUUGAGAACGAAAUGGAGAUGAAUUUCAAUUCGGAACAGGUGAGAUUUCUAGAUGUGGGGAUGAGAUUGUGAAGUGGAGGGGAUAUUUAAAAGCUUUUUUUUUUUUUGUCGGAAACAUAACUUAACAUUCAAGAGAUAAAAAAGGUUGCAACCCUUAGAGAGGGCAUCGUUACACAAUAGAUUAAAAAGAGUUGGGGGGGGGGGGGAGAAAAGCCCAAUUGGAGCCUAGAGCUCCAGCAGGGAAGUAGAGCUAUGGCUUCCUCGAUCAGUGAUCGACAAUCCUGGGAUGGUCUCUGGCGGAGAUUCGCGGCCUCCACAAGCUCCAAACAAUCGAUUCAAGGAUUAGGUUAGUGUUAGCCAAUCCUUGUCUUAUCAGAGAGUUGAGAGUGAAUAAGAGAGCUUGCGUUUCUGUUUGAAGGGGGAAGGAGGCUACUAUGUGUUGGGAGCUGCCUUCGAGCAAGGUACCGUUAUGAUCAUGACAGAGAUAAGCAAUUGAACCCCUUUCGGGGCCAGAUGGAAAAGCCCCAUCCAUAUUAACUUUAACAAAGCCGGGAUUUGGGGGAAUCCAGCAGGUAUUAGGGUUCGGGGCGGGUACUCUUGGGUUCAGAUGCCCCGGCGCAAAGGAUAGAUACAGCCUUGUUGAUGUGAGUGUCGAAUCCACAAUUUGCUGAGGGCUCAAUUGUUGUCGUUAGAAGACAUAAAGGUUCCGCGCCUUCCAAAUCUGCCAAAGAAUGGUUGCGAUGACCUCCAACCCAGGUAAGUGAGUUCUAUUUUUAACUAGAUCAGCCAACCAUGCAUCCAUACGGUGUGUGCAAAAUGCAGAGACUGUAAUGUGUAUAUCAGGAUGGGCCUAAACCUGCUAAGAUGUAAGGCAAGCCAAGAAUAAAUGUUCCACAGUUUCUGGGACUUGAGAUGGGCAAAGGGGACAUAGUGGGUCAUUUGUGACAUGUCGCCUGAAGAGAUUCUCCUUUGUUGAUAAUGCAUUGUGACAUAUAGACCAUAUGAAUAUUCUGAUUUUUGGAAUCGUGUUUAAUUUCCAAAUUUGUUGCCAGAGACAACAAGGUGUGGUGUAGGUUGAGGAAGCCCUAGUGUUGCUUGUUUUGGUGUCUGAUUGUCAAAUGUGAUGAUAGCCGCUUUUGAAAGAACAUUUUCCCUCACGCGAGCCAGUCCAGAGUAAUUGGUCUGAGUUAGAGUCUGGCCUAAGUGGAAUGGCUGUAAUUUCUUUAACCGUAUGAUUAUCAAAGCAUAGCUUGAGUCUUGGAAUAUCCCAAGUGAGCUGGUUUGAAGAGAUGAAACCAGCCACCUUCUCGAGUUCAUAUCUGGGUGUUGGCCCAGCAAUAACCCCUCUUUUCAGCCAUCUGUCCUGUCUGACCCUAAUUGUUUCGCCAUUGCCAACUUGCCACUGCAUAUGUUCUGUGAUGGAGUCCCUUUCUAGGAGUAUACUUUGCCAGCCCCAAGAAGGUCGCUGUCCCUUUUCUACAUGCCAAAAUUCUUUGGAGUGGUAAUAUAAGCCUUUAAAAAGAGAACUCCAUAGGGAAGGGGUAUUUUGAGAAAGUCUCCACGACUGUUUUCCCAAAAGGGCUUUGUUAAAGGUAACUAAAUCUCUGAAUCCCAUACCUCCGCUGUGUUUGCAUUCUUUCCAAAUUUCCCAGCUUUUCUAGUGGAUCCCGAAUUUGAAACUACUAUUCUGCCACCAAAAGUUUGCUAUCCGCUGCUCGAUAGAUUUACAUAUAGAAAUAGGGAGCUUAAAAAUAGACAUUGCAUACUGGGGGAGGGCUUGCACACUGUCUUCAGUAGAAUUUCCUUACCUCCUUUGGAAAUAAGGUUCUCUUUCCAUCCUGCUAACUUUGCAUUGACUUGAGCCAUAAUCCAGAAAACAUCUCUUUUUUAGAAGCACUCUAGUCAGAUGGUAUACUCAAAUAUUUCACAGUUUUCUGUAUUGAAGGAACUCUCAAUUCCAUAGCCAUAUUCUCUUGUAAACUCAGCGGGCAGUUUUUACUAAGGAAAAGACCUGGUUUAUUCCUAUUGAUAGCUUUACCUGUGGCUAGACAAUAUUGCUGCAUAAUAUUGGAAAGAUUUUGACAUUCAAGCAGUUUUCCAUCAAGGAAAAAGAUGGCAUCGUCGGCAAAAAGUAGGUGAGACAGAGUGGGACACCAUCUGUUUAGUCGUAUUCCUUUGAGAUUACCCAUGUCUAUUGCUUGUGUGAUAAGUGUAGAGAGAAUAUUAGCCAGCAGGAUAAAUAGAUAAGGAGAAAGGGGGUCACCUUAUCGUAGGCCCCUAGAUGGCUGAAAGUAAGGGAGACUUUCACCAUUUAGCUUGAUGCUAAUGGAUACUGUGGUGACACACUGCAUUAUCCAUUAUAUCCAUCUAGGAUUGAACCCCAAUUUAUGAAGAUACUCCUCCAGAAAAUCCCACUUGACCCGAUCAUAUGCCUUUUGCAUAUCCAACUUUAAGAUGCUUUGAAAUUUUUUCUCUCUCCCUGAUUUUCAGCUGGUGUAAAACCUCUUGCAUGAUCAAAAUAUUGUCUUGGAUUUGUCUUCUAGCAAUAAAAGCAUUCUGUUCUUGUGAGAUUAGGUCAGGGAGCCAACAUUUGAGACAUUAGCCAAAACCUUGGAUAUGAUUUUAUAAAUAAAAUUGCAUAGACUGAUCGGUCUAUAUUGAUCUAACCUUUCUGCUUGAUUGACUUUAGGGAUCAGGAUGAUGAUGGUUCUGUUUCGAGUUGGUGGUAGCAGACCGGAUGAGAAGAAAUUUUUCACUGUAGUGACUAAAUCAGCCUCCAAGAUAUCCCAGUGACGUUGAUAGAACAAGCCAUUGAAGCCAUCGGGUUCGGGGGCCUUAGUUGCCCUUAAUUGAAAAGUAGCUAGUUUGAUCUCUUCCUUAGUUACCUCUGCUGUGAGAUUGAGGUUCAUUUCAGCAGUAAUUGUUUGGCUACAUUGUGAUAGAAUAGGACCAAAGUUCCUAGGACCAACUGAAGUAUAUAAGCUGUGGAAGAAGUCGUUUGUCAUGUUCUUUAGAAGCGUAGGUUCACGAAUCCAUAGGUUGUUUGCAUCUUGUAGCAUACUGAUAUGAUUUCUCUGCCGUCUCUGAAUUGUAGUAGCAUGAAAAAACCUGGUAUUUUUAUCUCCCCAACAUAACCAAUUUAUCUGCGAUCUCAUAUUCCAGUAUUGUUCCUCUUGUUGCCAAACUUGUUGAAUCUCAGCUUUCAUUCGAGUAAUCUGCUGUUUAUCAAAAUUGCAGCCUGGCUGGUUGAUUUGAUCUUGAAUUUGUUGUUUUAAUAGGUUAAUGUGAAGAUGGCCGUUGCUAAAUUUCUCUCGACUCCAUCUUUGGAGCGCUGUGGUAGCUACCUGAAGCUUACGGGAGAUAGAAGCAUUACAUAGAGGGAGAGAUGUCCAGGUAGCAGCUAUGACUUGGUGACAAUCAGUAUGAUUUGCCCAUAAGGCUUCAAAGGUAAAGGUCUUUUUAUGUCUCUUUGCGGGAGGCUAUAGUGAUAACAGUAGCGGACUAUGGUCAGAGCCUAUAACAGGUAAGGCGAACACUUCGGCUGUUGGGUAUUUUAAUCUCCAUUCCAUAUUGCACAAAGCCUUGUCAAGUUUUUCCUUUACCAAGUCCUCACCUUCCCUAUUGUUAACCCAUGUAUAGGCACACCCUUUGCUAUCAAUUUCCAUGAGUGAGCAGUCGUUUAAGAAGUCCCGAAAUGAACGCAAUCUAUAAGAAUGUGCGAACCUUUUACCCACUUUUUCCCAAUGGUUUAGGAUCUUGUUGAAGUCUUCGAUGCAUACCCACGGUAUUAUAUUUGAUCUGUUGAUAUUGUUGAUAACUGUCCAUAACUGCUGUCUUUUAUGGAAGGAUGUAGGUGCAUGGAUAUAGGUGAGUCUCAUAGGAUUGCCACCUUGGGUACUAGUACAAAUCAAGUCGAUAUAAUGGGCUGAGAAGUUCUCCACAGUAAUAGAAAGAUGGUCAUUCCAAAAGAUAGCCAAACCUCUAGCUAGGCCUGAGGGGCUUACCAAAAAACGAUGCUGGUAAUGUAAUUUCCUUUGCACUCUAUCUAAAACAGAGUCCUAAUUUUUAGAUUUCAUCAAAAAUAUGAGAUCGGGCCGAUCUUGGAUGACGAGGUCCUUUAGAGCUUGAACUGUCAGGGGGUUGCCCAGCCUUAACAGUUCCAACUAAUGAUCUUUAUUUAUCUUUUGGUGGCUUUUUAGGGCAAGCCACCAUCGCCUAAUUGCCUACCCCUUCAGCCUCAAUGAUAGGGAUAUCCAUUAAUUGAUCAUCAGCCAGUGCAAUAGGUCCAUAAGCAAGCGAUUCAUAAGGCGAAUAUCUCUUUAGCUUCUUUUGCGGACUUCCUCUGGUAACUUUCCUAGGGCUUUUUAGUUUCUCAUAUUUGGAGGAUUCUGCAGCUGGAUUACUGAUAUUGAUAUGUCCGACUAAAACAGGGGAUUUCAUUUUGUGCAUUGCAGCUUCUUGCUGAGAGGUCACCUUGAGAGAAACACCCUGAGAAGCAGCAAUUUGUAAGUUGUGUUGCUAAUCUAAGUUAACCUCCAUUUGUGUAGCAUUCUCAUUGAGAUUUUUAGGGAUGGCAGACAACAUUAGAGGGGCCGUCGAAGGUGUUUCAAGUACAGUGUCAAUCUUAGUAUCGAUGUGUCAUAGAAAGCUUGCCAGAAUGGACUAUAUUCUCUAACUUCCACCCUAAGCCAUUGACCAAAGUAGAGGUUGUCAUGGCCUUCCAAUUUGGCAUCAUCAUAGGUUGUCACGGCCUUCCAAUUUGGCAUCAUCAUAGGGAAUCACUUUGCAAUACAAAGCAUAAUGGCCGAUGACCCCACAGGAAUAGCAUAAAUGGGAUGGUUGCUCAUAGCGAAAAUCUAGCAAUCUUAUCAGUUUUCUAGGUUUUAGAGGUUCAUGCAGAUUAAGUGCCACCCUAGCUCGCCAAGCGUGGGGGGGGGGGGGGGGAAAACCCUUUUGAACAAAACUUUUGACCUCCCAGACCUUACCAACAUGUUGGACAGCUCUUCGUAAAAUGGAUUCUGUACAUCUUUUUUAAGUUAAGCCGAAAAUUUGGACCCAAUACGCACAUGUAGUAAAAUCAUAACAAUGGAGAGGAGUAUUAGGGACCCAUGGUUGUACAAUUAGAAGGUGGUUCGCAGAAAGCCAAGGGCUAUUAUCCAUAAUAUGUUGUUUCUUAGCUUCAUAAUUAAACUUGAAAAUGAAUAGGCCGGCUUCCCUUUGAGAUAUGUUGACAUGGUCAGUACGCCACACACAUUUCAUAGUAGUCUGGAAAGCCUGAAAGUUAAUUGAAAGGUUUGAGUUGGAGUUUACCUACUAAGGUUUGUUUGCAUUUAGCUAAUUUAUCUUCUGAAAUAGCAUCUUCCCAGUCUUCUAUUUCCUGAUCUUCCCAUAACCUGCCCAUUCUGUUGCAGAGAGCUGCGAGCCUUGCAUCAUUUUCAUGGUCCAUACUAUUUCAAUGGGAACUGGGGAUAGUUCCGAAGAGGGUUACGAAGAGGAAACCAAUCGGAACAAUUGGCGAUGGAGAUGGGCCAGUGAUGGAGUUGGGAGUCAACUAGUCGGAAUCAGAGAAGAUGGGUCAGCAAAAGUGGGUCGACGAUGAAGCACAUGCAGAACAGAAUUGAAGGAAUGCAUGGCGGAGACUGGAUUGCGGAGCUACCAAGGCAGAGUGGGCGGUGGAACAUCGGGAGAUUGGAGAACUAGCACGAGGAAAAACGAUGGGGAGAGGGACACAGGUGAGCUAAACUAUCAAGCUUGUGAGUGAAGGAACCAUGGCUAUGGAGACAACAUAGACAUGAAGGGUUUUAAUGGUGAAGAGAGCUACCAGAGGGUAGAAAAACUCUACAUGACGAGAGAAAAGAAAGAUGGACAUUAGUCUUGAUGAGAUACACACUUUUGCAUAUGAUCUUGAUGUGGGAUUUGUACCUCCACUCGGCACAAGCCUAAAAUAUAUAUUUUAUAUUUUGCUAAUAAUAAGCACCGUGAUAUUGCACCCUCUAUUAUUUAUUUAUUUAUUUCUCUCAGCAGAGAUGUUACAUGAGGGGGUUGGCAAUAAAUUUUUAUUUUACUCCCUAUGCCAUUGGCGCGAUCGGGGCAACUUCUUUACUUGCAUGAAAAAACUUCAGAAACAAUUGAAGUUGCAUGCUUUUACUUCGUACGAAAUUCCACGCACCAUUGAAUAACUCAUUUAUUGCGAUGCAGGCAAAUACAAGUCUAGGAACAAUAGAAAAAGGGCAAAAACACAAGUUGAAGUGGAUCGGGUGUCGUCCACCAACAGCUAAGGCUAAUAAAAGCCGUCGGUGCCGCUCCUCAUAGAUAGCAGACGCAUCCAAAUUUCUACCAGAUUUGAAAAAGAGCAAUGCUAACACGACACUGCCGUUAUCGAUUGAAAAAUGACGGUGUAAUUUCAACCACCACUUUCACUUCAAGAGGAAUCGACUACUGAAUUUGCGUAAAUGACAAACAAAGAAGAUUGGUCAAUGGGUUGCCUCAGAUGUCCGAAAAGAAAAAUUUGAAAUCUUUCCCCCUUCUUCUUUUUUAAUCUGGACAGCACAUGUUCUCUCCAUCUCCGGCCAAUCUUUCUCUGGCAACAUUUUGUUGUCCGAUACCAAUCUUUCUUUUUGAUUUUACUAAAGUUUACCGCUUAAUUGCUAUGGAAAGCCCGAGUGUUACAAAGUUCAGAAAGUACUAGAAAUAUUGUUGUAGAUAUGAUUGGCGACCGGUGGAAUCGGCUCGCUGGUAUCGACUAUCAACGACCAAUGACCAACAGAGGGGCGGCCAAUAGAAUUGUGUUUUUAAUAGCUUUGUGGUCAUAAAAAGGAGAAAAUGGAAUUGCAUAUUAUUAGCUAGGUAAUAAAAAAAUUCCAAUUAUAAUUAUAGUUAACAUAUUAUGUAGAAUGUGUCAAUUAAAUCUGGUUUUUAGUACGCAUGUUGAGAAUAUGUUUUUAUUUUUCUAAUACAAGAAUAUGCUUGUUAUUAUAGAAUUAACUAAAGCUACAUAAUUUAAUUGCAAAAUUAAACAAGUUGCAUUUUAUGUCAUCAUGUGUACUUGAAUACGAUCAAACAUGAUAAAUCUUCAUAGAAUUUCCAAAAAAAGAGGAAGAUAUAUUAUACAAUGUUAUGUAUUUGGUCAUAUCCUAACAUCAUAAAUUCAUAAAAUCUGAAUUAUUUUUAUUUUACAUUAAUGACUCUAAAAUGCAUCAUGAUAGUCGGUAAUAAAUCAAUGACAUAUCCAUUAUCUGGUGCUUAACGUGGGUUCAUUAAAAUUUUAUGAAAUCUAUUAACGUUAUUCCAAUGCCUCCAUAUAUAAUAUUAAAAUUGAGUAAAGUAAUUUGACACGAUUCCGACAUCAUCCGUUAAAAAAACAAAAAUCGUAUACUUUCAAUGUUUCCAAGUUUUGAUUGCUUAUUUUGUCUUCCGUUUUUUUCCUUCUUGUUUAGUACUUUUUUUGUCCAACCAUUUCUUUUCUAUUUAAACUUCGUCAUUUUGGAAAAACUAUCAAGAGGGAUUUUUAGGAUCAAUAGUAGACAAAGCUCCGUCCCAUUUGGGAUAGUGACGAAGCGGUUGCCUUCUCAUUUUCCGUGUUCAUUUCAAGAUUUCCAUUUGAGUGGCAGUGUCUGCAAAUUGUGAGUUAUUUCUAUGCCGUUAAUUUUCGUUUUCAGCUUAGUCUCCUAUAAAUUUCGCGCGUUUCGCCUUAGUUCUUUAAGUUCCAGUACUUGUGCUUUCGAGUUGGUCUUUACUCCUUAAUUUUCAUGCAAUUCACUUCUUUGUCAUCGAGGUCAAAGUGACAAAUGUCUUUCAAGGAGCUGGCACGCCUUCGUUACUCUCAUGCCCACUCGAUCCAUCUUUGCAAAUUUUGUUUCGAGGAAGUUUGAUCACUUUGAGGUUGAGGGCAGACCCGAGAACAAGCUUUUGUUCAUUUUUCCAAUCGUGUGCUUGCCAUAUUUGACUUAAAUCGAUUUAAAUCCAAUAGUAUUUGUCACGCCCUGAACCCUGGGUACGCGUACAUCUCUCGGCAGUCGAUUAAAAAUGCGACAUCUCGGGACGCGUCACCAACCCAUUCUUUUUAUCUUUCAAUUAAGCAUAUGUGGAAGCAAAUUAAAUAAAUACCCGGCCAACAAACAACACUGAGAUAGUAAAAACAUGACAACCAUUGCCUAAAACAACAUAUUCAUUUAUCAACUGUUAACCCUAGAAAGUUUAAUAUUUACAAGCCUUCCUACGGCCACUUUCUAUCGACCCUCUCAAAAACCUUUAGGGACUAGGGUCAACCUAAACUUCACUAGCGACAAGGCCAGCCAAAAGGUGUCGCAUCUCGCGCCCACCAGAUCUGCACUCAGCAAAUCUCCACGCUAUGGCCCUGAAAAAGGUUAAUCAUGACGGGGUGAGAUAAAUCUUAGUGAGUCAAAACCCUAAAUCCCGAUUAGGAUGUAAAUUCGCCUCGAAGGCAGUCAUAAACACGUACAAUACAAAACUCACAUUGCCUCAGCAUGUCCUUGCAUAUUAGUGCAUCACAUAUGCAUUUAUAGAUAUAACAAGCGAAUUAAUAACCGGAAUACAUAAUUUUCACCCUUCAAAAAUUCACAUAGGUCUCAAUUAUAAGGUAAAACCAUUAUGAUACAUCAUAUACCGUGCCACACAAUUUUACCCCAUAAUUAAGCGUGAUAGCACAACCAUUCAGGUGUGUUUCGAUUAUUGCGACCCAUCAACCACGGCCAACUUAAAAGUCGGCGGUCAUCUGACGUAAAUGGGCAUCAUCCCAUUCCAUCAGGCAUGGCAACAUCUAGCACUACCCAUCUAGACGGCAUUCCAUAAAGGAGCAUCGGCUCGGCCUCCAUCGCGACUUGGCAUCCGUUGACGUGGGGCAUCCGAACUUAAUUAGGCAUCGCCUCCUCAAUUGUUGUCGGGUGACAAGUUCUGAUAGUGACCGUGCGAACACAUAUUUAGCCAAGAACACCACGCUUUGCGUUCAAGUACCUUGUUUCCAAAUAAUGAACUUGACCACUUUUUCUUCGUAUUAAAAAUCUCGGUAAAAUAAUCAUGUGUGGUCACAUAUUUAAAAGCGAACCGUCAAACUUGGUGCGCUCCUAUUUUAAAACUUCAUGGUUGAUAUAGUACAUAAAAAUUGGCAUCCAAAACCGACACCUAACAUUUUUCUAUUUAAAUGCCCAUAAAAUCGAGUUUUGUAGUAAAAAUCAACAACUACCAUCAAGCAAUCAAUGGCACCCCAUAGCAUAUAUAAGUCACCCAAUUCACACAUAAAUUCAUUCAAGAGACGAAACGGCUAAUCCCUCAUGAAUUACGCUAAUUACGAUUAAUUAAAUAAAUCGUGAUUAAUUAAAUAAAUUAUGAUUGAUUAAGCUAAUGCAACUUAAUUAACUUAACAAUGAUUAAUUAAUCUAACCAUGGUUAACUAACUUGACCAUGGUUAACUAACUAACCAAGGUCAACUAACCUAACCAAGCAAGUUAGCCUAACCAAACUAACAACGUAGCCAAACUAGUUACCACUAACCUAGGAUUAACUAAACUAAUCAUAAUUAACACUAAUCUAACCCCCUAAGCGAAAUUAACAACCUAAUCAAGGAUUAGGGAGUUAACUCACGGGAUUAAGACGGCGGCGGGCUCACGACGACGGCGACGGUGAUGGCGGCGGCAAGGGGAAGCUCAUGGCCAAAGUGUGGGGACUUGGCUGCUAGGGUUGCUGGUCGGUCUCGAUGGAGCUGUCUGUUUGACAUCCCAAAUUUUUAUUCUUAUUUUCUACUAAAUAAAUUAGGCAUUUCAUUGAUGUGCCUAUAGGGCUAUUCUCAGAGCUGAUCAUUCUUGAGAUAAUUAGACUAUUCAGGGAAGCCAUUAAGGAAUUUUAAUGCAAUAGACUUAAGAAUUCGACUAGGAAUCGGCUAUUCGACCGUGCUCAUUUUUAGAGGCCAUUACGACACAGUUAAAAAUCAAUUUAAGAUCAAAGAUAGGUUUGUUCGACUUGGAUGUGUGGCUAAUCGUGGGUGACACCAUUAAAUUGAAAAAUUCUCGUUGGCCGACCCUAAACUGGUUCUUCUGUCGUUUUGGUACCCUGUAUCCGUAUUUGAAUCCUUAAAAUUUUCAUGACAACCAAGAGUCGCCAUUGUGUCGAGUGGGUUCAUUAUGGCUCAAACAAAAUCGACCACGAGUCAUUUGCACUAGAAAUCCUUGAAAACUACCGAUAACUUAUGUCACGCUAAAAACGCGUCUGAGUGAAAUUAACUGUGAAUUUAAGUCCAAUUUUAGAAAUUGAAUAUUCUGUCAUGUUACAAUAAAUUCUAGGAACAUCGACUGAGUCUCAGAAGAUUUUUUUGCAACCUGAGACUUUUUGGGAAAAAGUUGGCGUAUGGCCGUUUUUAUUUAGAAAAUGCCGAGAUUGUUUUUGAUCGCGCAAUGGGGAUGCAAGAUAGAUCAAUUGGUGAGUAAAAUUAGCAAUUUGAUAAUUAAGAUGCUAAUUAAAUUUAUUGAGGCCAAAUUGGAUUGAAUCAAGUGUGAAUAAGUGUCUAAUUGAGAGAAAUUUAUUGGAAAUUCGUGUGCCCCCCAUUCUCUAUGAUAUUGGACCAUUUCAAAGGUUGUGGAUGUGCAUUUGUGGCCUAAGGACAGCCAAGGAAGGAAGGCUUGGCUAGGAAUGGGUCAAGGGGGACAAAGACCUGGAAAAAAUUGGCAUGUGGUCCCCCCUCUUGCCUUCUCUCCCUCGUUUCCCCCUUUGGCCAUGCGAUAGCCUUCCUUCCCCAUCUCCAUAGCUGCUACUUGAAGGCUAGAAUUCUAGUAGAAGAAGUUGUCGUCCACGUCGCAUGUUGUUGCCCUUCGCCGGAACGCCGUUCGCCCGUGUGAGCUGCCUCGCGCGUCGUCACGCCUUGCCGUGCCUCACGCCGUCCCAGCCCUCUGUCUGCCGGUCCAUUUGGCUAUUUCACAGCCUAGCAGGCCGUCGUGAGUCCGUGUUGUUGACCACUUGGCCUUGCCAUCGCCUUCGCCGAUCUUGCUUACUUUGUUUAGCUUUGUUUUCCCCUAUUUUGCAGCUCAAAACAUAGAAGGAUUUUGUGUGUUUCCAGUAGGCUUUUAAGCCCGUUUUAAGGUGGUCCCGAGCCUCGGUUGCUAGGCUUGCCUUGAGGAAAGGGGAUAAGUACACUAAUGGUGCCAUAAGUUAUGUACGACGCUCACUUUGGUGCCAAAAGUUUCCAUCAGAUCACUUAAGUGCCAAAAAAUUUGAAAAACACUCACUUUGGUGCCAACGCCGAUGAAAUUGGUCGGAAAUCCGAUGUGGCCUUUUUUUUAUUAAUUUUUGAAGCCGACGUGGCUUGUUGGAGAGUUGAGUCAACAUCCAAACACCAAAACGAUGCCGUUUGGCAUCUUUCCCCCAACUUUGAAACCUUAAUCCCCAAAUUGAGAGAGCGGGGAGGCUUGUCUUCGUGUCUUCUUCUUCCUCGAAGACCCACACAAGCAAUAGCAACGGCAUCAGCACGGCACCAGCAACAGCACCGGCAGCACACCGGCAGCGACACCAGCAACACACUAGCAGCAGCAGCGCACCAGUAGCACCUUCGACCCAUCUUCUUCCUCCUCCUCCUUCGCCCUCGCCUUCGAUUUUUCCUGCAACAAUCUCAGUCUCUCCUCGCUCACCUGGUCGAGCAACUACAAUGGUGGCUGAGCGACGGUGGCCGAGUGACGGCGGGCGAACAAUAGUGGCUGAGCGGCAGAAACCCUAAUUUCAAUCCCCAUGUGAGCUAAACGGCGUCGUUUCCGUGAAGCCAUCCAUGUAUGACGGCAAAACGACAUCAUUUAAAGGCCUAUCAAUUUUUAUUUUUAUAAAAAACAGCCACGUAUUAAUUUUGGCCAGAAUCUUUCGCCGGUGGCUGAAAUCUUUCUCUGGUGGCACCAAAGUGAUCGUUUUUCCUCCGAUUUGGCACUUAAGUGAUCCGACAGAAACUUUUGGCACCAAAGUGAGUGCCGUACACAACUUAUGGCACCAUUAAGGUACUUAUCCCUUGAGGAAAGUAUAGCCUUGCAUUGACCCCAUCGUUUUGAAUUGAACGGUUCGUUAAAUGGGUGAGUUUAGCUCACUAAUCCUCUAUUAGUCGGUUAAUUAUACUUAGGGGUUGUUUAGAUUUAAUUAAGUGCAAUUAGGUGGAUAUAUUAGAUUAGAGUAAUUAAAUUAGAGACUUAUCGAUGCAUAUUAGGCAAAUGGUUAGUGUAGUUAGCAAGUAGACACGCUUUAUUAAUUAUUGAACGAACCUUGAAAUUUUUCUGGCUCCGUUUCGGCAUCUAAUUAGGCAUUACGGGCCUAAAUUGGAUUUAUUGCAUUUAUUUAAUAAUUUUUGUAAUUAUUUAAUUAAUUAUUAAUUUUCUGAAAAUUAGGCUGGGAUAGCCGACGACUGGAAUUCUAUGCUGAUCGUGAUGAUAUGAUAUGUUUAUUUAUUUAAGCAUUGAAUUGUGUUGAAUUGAAUUAAUUAUGCUUUUAGGAUUUUAUUCCUAAAUUGAUUGAUUUUGGUAAUUGAUGGGAAAAUUACCAGGCGUCGGUUGACAACGCCAAAAAUGUUUUUGUGGACUACAGAAAAUGGUUGGAUUUGUGGAAGUGAAAUUAUGAUAUUUUGGCUAAGAUCAAUAGUGUACCCACACACAACUAUUUUAUCAAAAAAGAUAAAAAAAAAAGAAGAAGAUGGAAUUGAUUGUAUGAUUGGGAUGGUAUACUAUAUUUACCUACGGGCGAUAUGUCAACUUAGCAGAGAGCAGUAUAUUGGUAUACUAUAUCAACCUAAGGGCUCUGAUAUGGCAGCUUAGCAGAGAACAGUAUACCUUAUCACAAUAUUAGUAUACUAUAUCAACCUACGGGCUCUGAUAUGAUAGCUUAGCAAAUAACAAUAUACUAUUUAUCAGCUUAGAUUGAGCAUUAUCGGUAUACUAUAUCAACCUACGAGCUCUAAUAUGGUAGUUUAGCAGAGAGCAGUAUACUCGACCAUCUCAGAAGCGAGUCAUACUAUUUAUCUAUUAGCUUAGCAGUGAGCAGUCCUGAUAUGAGCGAACUUUAUAGAUAAUAUGAAAUGAGCUGACCAAGAAAGGGUCGAGAUGACAUGUAAUCGACUAGGUUGAUUGAUCAAUGAUUUGAUAUGAUUUUAUGAAUUGAUGUGAUUUGAGAUAUCCGUAAGUGAUAUUGACUUGUAGGGUCGAACUGAGGCCAAGGUAAGUCCUUUGACACGUGUAGUGAUUAGGUAGCCCUUAGGGCGUAUUGACUUCCUAAUCGGGUCUUAGUGGGGUAGAAAUUGCUGAGACGUAGUCUCACUCCGUUGUGGGAUAACAUUUCAGGUCCCUAGAUGGCAUCACCUCCACCUCCUCGUCCUCCCAUGCAUUUUGGUAUACUAGAAGAGAUCACCGAGAUAGCAUACCACUUCUCGAUACACCCUCACCUGAAAGGUCUAGAGUAUGUUUUGGUGAAAUCCAUAGCCUGGGUGGAUGAGGGUAGAGAUGCCUUGAGGCCCCAUGAGUAUAGGUCGUGGUAUCGUCACUAUCAUGACGGGCGAAGAGAGAGUUCAGUACUGGAAGAUGAUGUGCCUAUGUUCGUUUUGGAGGCAGCAUUCGGGGAGGGGAUGGCUGAUCCUAAGGAUGGGUCGGUGGUGGAUGCAAAAGAUCCUAAGCUAGGUGAAGACCUGGACUCUCCCAAGCCAUCAACAGCAAACUCUAGUUGGAGAUGGAGGAAGGAGAGGUUGUAGAGGAGGAGGAGUACCUGGGGGAGGAGCCCGAUGAGGAACUUGAGGAGGAAGGACCUGAAGAGGAGGACCCAGAAGAGAACCUAGAGGAGGAGUUGGAGGAGGAUCCCGAGGAUGAUCAGGAGUAUGACCUCGAUGAAAAUUGAGACUCCACUCCUGUUUGAUGACUUGAUCCUAUAGAACCUGUUUGAGUAGAAACCGACUUUUAGUAUGGCUUGUAUAUGUAUAUAAAUGAUUGAGUUGUUAUAUAUGUAUAUAAGCGUGUUGGUUUUCAGGUUUGAGUUUUUAGUCCUACUUUCCUAUCUCAUUGUUUUAUUGUCUGGGAAUUAUUUUAUAUGCUUCUGCAUGCGUAUAUUAAAUGAAUGGGUCGGCGAUGCAUCCUGUGAUGUUGCUAUAAAUCGAUCAGGUGAGGGAUGGGUGUGCGCUCGAGAAUUGGAGCGUGACAUCCCUGCUUAAGUGGUAUCGGAGGAAUGGUCGUUAGGGAUUGGAGUGAUAAGGUGCGGUGGACCAUGGGAUAGUGGUAGGAAAGAUAUUUUAAUUCAUGUUUGGUGCAUGUCAAUGGUAGAUGAUUGGUAAAAUUGGUUGCCGUGUAUGUGUCGCUCAUCUUCUAAUCUAGUUUGGAUUUAGAAGACAGGUUUCAGUAGAAAAGAUUGAACCAUGAGCGAGCCGGAGUAGAUGACUCUAAGUAAGAGAACUGUUAGGCUUUCAGCUUGGGUUAGAUCGUUGACCAGAGUCGGUACCCGAGGAGGCAAAGCUAGGGCACCGGCAUAGGCUAGUGCUAGUGGUGUAGCACCACUUCUAGUAGAAGCUGGGGUAGCAGCCCCCAGUGAUCCUAGAAUCGAAGGGAUCAUGCGGGUGCUAGAAGUCAUGGGGAACAUGAUGGAUUAGCAGGCUCAGAAUCAAGCCGCCGCUCAAGCCACUAUACUGUUGCUGUUGCCACUGCUGCUGAGGCCGCACCAGCCGCUGCACCUGUUGCUGCACCUAUCGCUGAUCCAGCCGAUGUUCCAUUUAAGAACGUAGUUUUAGGCAGAGAAAGACCGAUCCACAAUCUGGUGGAGCAUUUCUUGAAACUGAGCUCGCUAAGAUUUUCGGGUAUUGGAGACCCUAAGGCCACUUCACUGUGGAUCUAGGAUUUAGAGAAGGCAUUUGCACUCAGAGGCAUAGAAGGUAACCCUAUAAGUAUAUCAGUUUUAGGGCAAUGUCAACACCUGAUGGAGAGCUGCCAGAGAGACAGUGUUUCUUGAAGGAGUGGUUCUACUAUGGGAUGCAUUCCUUAGGUUGUUUAGGCUGCGCAUGGUAACAUUUCUUGGCCGGGGAACAAUUUUUUUUUUUUUUCAGAAAUAGUUCUUUUAUAUUUCUAUUUUGGGGAACAAUUUCUAUGUAAAAAAACUCGUUUGGUAACUACACAAUUUUUACUCUAGAAAUAAAAAAAAGAAUAGAAAUGUGUUUGGUAAAAAAUAGUUUCUUUUUUAUAUUUAUUUGUUUUUUUUUAUUUUUUGCCUAUAGACUGCCACCACCGUCGGAUGCCGCCGCCGCUGGCCGACCGCGGCCGAUGGGCCGUGCGACGGCGAUCGGCGGCGGCAGUUGGUGGGCAGCGGUCGGCUGGUGGUGACGUGCAGCGGCGGCGGCGGCGGCGAUCGUCCGGCGGCGGCGGUGACGGUCGGCUGGCCGGGAGCGACCGGCGAUGACCGGUAGUGGCGGCGGCGAUCGGUCGGCCUUCGGUGGCGACAGUUGUUCGGCGGUGGCGGCAACGGUCGGCCGGCGGUGACCGGCGGCAGCGGCGGUCAUUCGGCGGCGGCGGCAACUGUUGGCUAGUGGCGACGUGCGGCGGUGGCGGCGUUUGGUGGCGAUCGGCGACGACCGGCGGCGGCAACGGUCGGCCGACGGUGGCGACGGUCGACCUCCGGCGACCGGCGGCGGUUGGCCGACGACAGCCAGCGGUCAAGGGCAAUCAAUGGCGGUCAGCAAGAGAUGAAUAAAAGAAAAAAAAAUUCACUUAUUUCUUAAACUUGUUCCCGGGAACAAGAAGCAACUUUUUUUUACUUCUCAUUUCUAUUCUAAAACCAUUCCCGGGUUAAUUUUUUGUUCCUGGGAACAAAAAACUAACUUGCCGUUAUCAAACAAGUUUCUAUUCUUUUUCUGUUCUAGGGAAGAGAAGAAUAGAAAUUGUUGGGCUGGGGAAGUUUACCAUGCGCAGCCUUAAUGAACAAUACUUCUCGAGGAACGCAAGAAAGCAUAAUAUAGAAGAAUUUCCACGACUUCGUUAGAGGUCAAUGACAGUUGACCCAAUAUGGGGUCAAAUUUGUGGAGCUUUCUCAGUAUGCUUCGAGGAUGAUUGAAGACCUUGAGGAGAAAGCUCGAAGGUUCAAGAAUGGCAUUCGACAAUAGUUGAAGCAACUGCUGGUGCCGUUCGAUCUGAUUGACUACCAUGAAAUCUAUCGUUAGGCAUAACUGCUUGAAAGGAGUCUGAAUGAACGGGUCACCUCAUCAGGAUCGAGGUUUACUUCCCGUCGAGAAGGAAUUCGUCAAGGAAAAAGGCCCAUGCCUAAAGGUAGAUACCAAAUCCCAUCAAAUAGGAGAGGUGGAGUUGGUAAGCAGUGCCAAAUAGAACUGAGAUGUGUCGCCUUUGUGGAAGAUGACAUCCUGUGAAUCAAUGCCCUCGAAGAACGGGCGCCUACUUUGAAUGUGGCCAGUAGGGCCAUAGGGCCAGAGAUUGUCUUAACAGGCCAAGAGGACAGCCAUAGUUGCCGCCGCCACCACCUAUGGGAUAGAUAAGAGGUUAUGCGCCACAGAACGUGCCACAAGGAGGAUAGCUGAGACCUCCAGUUCAGGGCACGGUGUAUGCCAUCACACAAGUUCAGGUAGAGGCUGCGCUUGACGUGAUCAUAGGUAUGGUUUCGCUGAAUGACCAUCUUGCUUACGCUUUAUUCAACUCUGGAGCAACCUAUUCUUUUAUUACCGAGUAAUAUGUUAAGUUGUUAGGAUUAAGUCCUAUAUUGUUGGAGUCGGCAAUUUACAUAUCUACACCAUUAAAGGAUAAAAUUAUUCUUGCUUUGGGUUGUUCUGGUUACAAGUUAGCGAUUGGUGAGGGAGUGGGGAAAUAGACUUGUUAGUUCUAGCCAUGUAUGACUUUGACUUGAUAAUUGGCAUGGACUAGCUCACCAAGUAAUGAGCUAAAAUGGACUGCUAUUGCAAAGUGAUUUAGUUCGACCCGUUAGAGGGUGAGAGCUUCGAGUUUGUCGGGAAUCGAGUAGGACCCUCGAUUAUCUUGAUCUCAUCACCUAAGGCAACUCGUUUGUUAGAUGAGGGUUGCCAAGGUUACCUAGCAACUGUCAUGGAUACAACAGUUGAGGAGCUGAAAAUGGAAGACAUUGCUGUGGUACGAGAAUUUCUAGAUGUCUGUCCAAAGGAAUUGCUAGGAUUGCCACUAGAAAGAGAAAUCGAGUUCGUGAUUGAGCUGGCACUCGGGACAGAGCUAAUCUCUAAGGCCCCUUACCGGAUGGUGUUAUUUGAGUUAAAAGAAUUGAAGGUGCAGAUGCAAUAACAUUUGGAUAAAGGGAUUUAUUUGUCCCAGUGCAUCACUUUAGGGAGCACUGGUUCUAUUUGUUAAGAAGAAAUAUGGUUUGUUGCGCCUAUGCAUUGACUAUCGGCAACUCAAUUAGGUAAUGAUUAAGAACAAGUAUUCACUCCCGAGGAUCGACGACUUGUUUGAUCAAUUGCAAGGAGCGUUGAUAUUUUCGAGGAUUGACUUGAGAACAGGAUGUCAUCAACUAAGAAUUAGGAAGGAGGACAUUCCUAAGUCAGCACUUCGUACUUGGUAUGAUCAUUACGAGUUCAUAGUGAUGCCAUUCGGGUUGACGAAUGCUCCUGCUACCUUCAUGGAUUUGAUGAACCAAAUAUUCAAGGAAUAUCUAGAUCAGUCUGUGAUCGUGUUCAUUGAUGAUAUGUUGGUGUAUUUGAGAAGUGAUGAAGAGCAUGAGAAUCACUUGAGAUUAGUGUUGUAAAAGCUAAGAGUCCAUAAGUUGUACGCUAAGUUUAGCAAGUACGAAUUUUGGCGAAGAAAUUUCAGUGGACUCGAGCAAGAUUGAAGCCAUGAUCAAUUAGCCAAGACUGGAUACAGUGACAGAGAUUAGAAGUUUUUUGGGUUUAGCAGGUUAUUACAGACGGUUUAUAGAAGGGUUCUCAUCAUUAGCAUCGCCUUUGAUAAGACUUCUGAAGAAAUAAGAGAAAUUUGUGUGGACCGACAAGUGUGAGCGUAGUUUUCAAGAGCUAAAAGAAAAGCUGACUACCGUACUGGUGCUGACGAUUCCAUCUGGUCUUGGAGGAUUCGAGAUCUACAAUGAUGCGUCAUUUAGAGGACUGGGUUGCGUGCUAAUGCAACAUGGUAGGGUUGUUGCAUACGCCUCCCGUCAGUUGAGGCCUCAUGAGCAGAAUUAUCUUAUGCAUGACUUAGAACUCGCAGCGAUUAUCUUUGCCCUAAAGAUUUAGAGACAUUAUCAAUGCGGAGAAAGAUUCUAGAUCUUCACGGACCAUCAAAAUCUCAAGCACCUAUUCUCUCGGAAGGAGUUGAACAUGAGAUAGCGCCGAUGGACGGAAUUGCUGAGGGACUACGACUGUGAUAUCCUAUAUCACCCGGGGAAGGCGAACAAGGUCGCCGAUGCUUUGAGUCGAAAGUCUUCAGUAGCUCACAUAUUGAUUAAGGAGUAGAACUUAAUCGAGAGAGCUCGAGAUUCGGUAUUCAAGUUUGAGGUAGGCCACCUUUCAAAUCUUAUGGCCACCCUCCAAAUUGAAUCAGAUGUCCAAGUCAGAAUCAAGCUACUCCAACUGAUAGAUCCAGAUGUACAAAAGAUUCUACAGGAGGACACUGAGAAAAUAAAGGCUGACUUUCAGAUUUCUGAUGAUGGAAUAAUGAGGUUCCGAGGACGUUUGGUUGUACUUGACAAUGUAGAGCUUAGAGAAUAUAUUUUAUUUGAAGCACAUUGUAGCAGUUACAGCAUUCAUCUUGGAAGUACCAAGAUGUAUCAGAAUUUGCAUCAACACUAUUGGUGGUUUGGGAUGAAGGCGGAUAUCGCCAAGCAUGUCGCCAAGUGUCUGACGUGUUAGCAGGUGAAGGCUCAGCAUUACAAGCCAUGAGGACUUCUGCAACCUCUCGAGAUCCCAGAGUGGAAGUGAGAACAUAUCAUGAUGGAUUACAUGACUAGACUGACAAAGUCAGCUCACUUUCAAAAGGGCUUGAGUUUGGAUAGGCACGCAGAUCUAUACAUGCGUCAGGUGGUUCGUAUGCAUGGAGUGCCGGUUACGAUAACUUCAGAUAGAGACUUAAGGUUUACUAUCAUUUUUUUUUUUGGAAGAACUUACAUAGUGCCUUAGGUACCAAGCUUCUGUACAGUACGGCAUAUCAUCCUCAGACGGAUGGCCAGUCUAAGAGGACAAUUUAGACCCCCGAGGAUAUGUUGAGAGCUUAUGUACUAGACUUCAAAGGAAGUUGGGAAGAUCAACUACACUUGGUGGAAUUUGCUUAUAACAACAGUUAUUAACAGAGCAUCAAGAUGGCUCCAUUCAAAGCAUUGUAUGGCAGAGUGUGCAGGACACCGGGGUGUUGGGAUGAAGUUGGGGAAAUGAAGAUUAUGGGCCUAGAGUUGGUCCAGCAGUCAGUGGAUGCCAUGGCAGUGAUCAAAAACAGAUUAAAGAUUGCUCAGAGUAGACAAAACAUAGACAAGCGUCGAAGGCUUUUGGAAUUCUAAGUUGGUGAUCAUGUUUUUCUAAAGGUGUCACCAAUGAGGGGAACUUCGCGCUUUGGAAAGAAAGGAAAACUGAGUCCGAGGUAUGUAGGUUCGUUUGAGAUUCUUGAGAGAAUUGGGAGCCUAGCGUAUCGUCUUGCGUUGCCACCAAGAUUGACACAAGUGCACGACGUCUUUCACGUGUCGAUGUUAAGGAAGUAUGAGCCCAACUCGACCCACGUGCUCAAUUUCGAGGAAUUGGACGUGGAUGAUUGUGUGUCAUACGUUGAAAGCCCGGUUUAGAUUGUGGAUCGUAAAGAACAUGUUCUGCGUACAAAGACCAUUCCAUUGGUUAAAGUGGUCUGACAACACCACGAUAUUGAAGGAGCAACGUUGGAGACUGAAGAGUCGAUGAGACAAUUGUACCCCCACCUUUUUGCUUAAGAUUUGUAAGGUUUAAAUUUUGAGGAUGAAUUUUUAUAAGAGGGGAAGAAUUGUGACAUCUCAGACUUUCAGUCCUAUUUUCUACUGAAUAAAUCGAGCAUUUCAUUGACGCGCCUAUAGAGCUGUUCUCAGAGCUGAUGAUUUUUGAGAUAACUAGACUAUUUAGGGAAGCCAUUAAGGAACUUUAAUGCAAUAGACUUAAGAAUUUGACCAGAAAUUGGCUAUUCGACCGUGCUCAUCUUUAGAGGCCAUUACGACAUAGUUCAAAAGUGAGAAUAUUGUAUUUUGGCUAAGGUCGAUCGUGUACCCACACACGGGUAUUUUUAUCGGGUAUGAUAAAAAUGGUGAAUUUGUUGGAUGGUCAGGAUGGUAUACUAUAUCAGCCUGAGGGCCAUGAUAUAUCAGUUUUGGGUGAGUAGUAUACCUUAGCAGCUUUUCGAGAGCAUUAUUAGUAUACUAUAUCAGCCUACGGGCUUUGAUAUGUUAGCUUAGGGCGAGCAGUAUAUUCGGUUGUCAGCUGUUGGUGAGUCAUAAUCUAUAAGUUUUGGGUGAGCUAUACUAUCUAUCUUUAGCUUAGGGUGAGCAGUUUUGAUAUGAUCGGACUUUAUAGAUAGUAUUGAAUGGGCCGACCGAGUGAAGGUCGUGAUGACAUGGAAUCGACUGAGUUGAUUGAUCGAUGACUCAAUUUGAUUUGAUGAUUUGAUUGGUUGAUGUGAUUCAUGAGUAUAUGAAAUGUACUGACUUGCAGGAUGAAACUGAGGCAAAUGUAAGUCCUCUGACCUGUACUUAUGCUUAGGUAGCCCUUGGGGCAUAUUUUCUUCCUAGUUGGGGUUUAAGGGGUUGAACUUGCUAAGACGUUGUUUCACCCUAUUGUGGGAUAACAUUUUCAGGUCCCUAAAUGGUGGCUCCUCCUGAGCGUUUUGGAUAGUCGAAGAAGGUCACUGAGUAGGUGUCUUAUAUUCUGCUGCAUGGGAGCCCAAGGGGCUGGGUCUAUGAGCUAAUAAGGAUCGUGGUCUGGGUUGAUGAGGCUCUACCCCACAAGGUACCCCAUCAAUACAGAUCAUGGUACUGUCGUGAGCGGAAUGGCUAGAGAGAGGGUCCCAUACCGGAAUCUAAUAUACAUCUAUAUGUGCUGGAGGUUACUUUUGGGAAAGGCACAUCAGAUCCUUCCAGUGGUUCGGUGGUAGACCCGGAUCUUUCAGAUCUAGGGACCCCGGUGAAUCCAGCUGAAGGCUCCAAUUAGGAUGAGGAUAUGUAGUUUUAUGAAACCCCCCAUGAUUUGCAGACCUUGUUUUUAUAGACUGGUAUUGUAUAUGACAUGGUUUGGUAUGUAUAUAUAAGUGUAGUUUAGUUUUUAAAAAUUAUGGUCCUACUUUCCUAUCCCAUUUUGUUGUUGUCUGGGGGUUAGUUAUUCGCUUCUACAUGGGCAUUAAAAUGAAUGGGUUAGUGAUGCGUCCUAGGAUGUCGCUAUUUAAUCGAUCGCAGAGGGAUGGGCACGUGCUCGGAGGAUCGGGGUGUGACAUCCCCAUUUAAGUGGUAUCAGAGCAGGGUUAGUAUUGUAGUGAUAAUGUGCGAUGGUUUAUGAGUAGUUAGUAGGAAAUGCCGUUAUUUCAUGCUGGUGCAUAUCUGUGAUAGCUGAUUGGUAGAAUUGUUUGUUUGUGUGGAUCUCUCAACUUCUAAUUCAGUGUGGAAUUGGAAGACAGGUUUCAGUAGAAAACUGAGUUACGAGUGAUUAGGAGUAGAGGACUCCUAGUGUCACGCCCUAAUCCUCAGGCAUGUACACAUCCUUCUGCUUGGUCAAUUUUAAAAUGCAAUAUCCUAGGACUAUGUAUCGCCGACCUCUUCAUUUUAAUUAGCACAUGCGGAAGCAAUUAUAAAUCCCCAGACAAUAAAACAAUGGGAUAGAAAAGUAGGCCAAAAUUUUCACAAUAUGAAAACGCAUAACCACACUUUUUAUACAUAGCACAACCCAAGAUAUACUUCACAAAACUAUUCACAACUUUCUAGUCUCACUCUAUCCACACAUAUAUAGGGUUCGUAAAAAGGAUGGGAUCUCAACCCUCAUCCUGGUCAUACUCAAGAUCGUAUGGAUCCUCCUCUGACUCCUUAUCGCUUUCCUCCUCUUCAAACUCCUCUUUCUCUUCAGGUUCCUCCUUAGCUAUCCCUCACUCCUCGUCCUCCUCUAGACCUUCCACUUCUUGCUCCAUGAUCUCACCUUCCUCUAUCUUAAAAUUUUCAUCCUCUAUAGUGUAUACAGGUGAAGUCGGCUCACUCCCGAGCGCAAGAUCUCUAGCAUCAUCUAUGCCUCCACCAUCGAGGUCUGCAAUCCCCUCACCAAAAGCUUCCUCCAAGAUGGGAUAAGGUAUAUUCUCUUCAGGGAUGUGACCUAUUCUCCGCCUAUCAUGAUAGUAAUGAUACCAAGAUUGAUACUCAUGGCGUACAAGGUUGUCCUGGCCAACAUCAACCCAUAACAUCGACUCAAUCAAAACAUGUUCCAACCCUUUUGGAUGAGGAUGAACGUGGAAGUGAGUUUCUUUCUCGGUGAUAUCCACUGGAAUGCCAAACUGUUCUAGAGGAGGGGGAGGUACCGGUGCUACCAUUUAGGGGCCUGAAAUGGUAAUACAAUAACCAUUGAGACAACGUCUCAGCAAGUUCUACCCCACUAUGACUCGAUUAGGAAACCAAUAUGCCAUAAGGUUGCCUAAGCACAAUACGAGUCAGAAGACUUAUCUUGGCAUCAAUCCCAACUUGCAAUUCAAGAUUAUAUACAUAUGCCUCAUAUAUCACAUCAAACAAUCAAUUAAUUCACAAUAAUCGGAUCAAAUCAUUGAUCAAUCGACCUAACCGACUACAUGUCAGUCGGACCAUCUCUAGGUCAUUUCCCUCCAUACUAUAUAACCUCCAAUAGUACACUUAGUCACAUAACCCCAUUGAUGCUCUCGGGCGUCAUUUUCGCCAAGGUGAUGUAUGUAAUAGACAGUUAUGUGUGUUUUUUAAGGCGCCGUUUUUGCCAGUGAAAUCCCUAACCACCGAACCAUGUAUGUCCGUAAUGAUGUAUGCACUGGACCAUUACGUGCGUUCUUUAAGGCGCCGUUUUCGCUAGUGAUAUCCUUAAUCACCAAACCAUGUAGGUCCAUAAAUCACGUACAUUCUUUCUCUCUGGCGCCGUUUUUGCCAACGUGAUAUAUAUAAUAGGUAGCUACAUGCGUUCUUUAAGGCGCCGUUUUCGUCAGUGAUAUUCCUAAUCAUUGAACCACGUGUACCCAUAAUGAUGUGUGCACUGGACCGUUAUGUGCGUUCUUUAAGGUGCCGUUUUUGCUAGUGAUAUCUUUAAUCACCGAACCACGUAGGUCUAUAAAUCACGUACAUUCUUUCUCUCUGCUAUCGUUUUUGCCAAUGUGAUAUAUAUAAUAGGCAGUUAAGUGUGUUCUUUAAGGCGCCGUUUUCGCUAGUGAUAUUCUUAAUCACCGAACCAUGUAUGCCUAUAAUGAUGUGUGCACUAGACUGUUACGUGCGUUCUUUAAGGCACUGUUUUCACCAGUGAUAUCUUUAAUCACCGAACCACGUAGGUCCAUAAAUCACGUACAUUCUUUCUACUUUAGCCUAUCAAAGCAUUAUUGAUGCUAAAUAAUUAUACUCGGCCAUCUACCAGUCAAUCACUCAAUUUCACUCAACUUAGGAUAAAUUCCUAAAAUAUCACAAUUUAUUCAAUUUCACACAAUGUAAAGCUCAAAUAAAUAAACAAACUACACCAUGACAAUUAGCAUAAAAUUUUGGGAUAAGUGUUCCAGAAGUCCUAAAACUUGUCGCGAAAAUGCAUUUGAGUCCUAAAACUUGCAAAAAGUACAAAUAAGUCCUAAAACUUGUCAAAAUGUUUCAUUUGAGUCCUAAAAUUGACGCCGUCAGUUUUAUUGACGGAAAAUGUUGACGUGGCGUUGACGUAGUAUUUUAAAUAAUUUUUUUAUUUUCUAGCUGGUUUUUAAAAAUAAUUUUUGAUUCAAUUUUAAAAAAAAUUAUAUUUAAAAGCUAAAAUUCAAUUUUUAAAAAAUGUUAAAAAAAAACGGGAAGAAGAGGUGGCCGCCCAUCGCUGGAGGGACCGGCGACAGUCGCCGGCCCCAGGCGAGGGCCGGUGACCCUCGCCUGACGCGGGCGAGGGCACCCAGAUCUGGGCACACUGGCCCUCGCUUGGGGGCCGGUGACCGUCGCCAGCCCUGGGCGAGGCCUCGGCGGCCCUCGUCUGGGGCCGGCGGGGCUCGCCCAGAUCUGGGCGUUGCCGCGAAGCGUGAGGGCCACGCGAGUGGCCCGCUCCCGUGCUUCCCUGUGCUCAACGCUAGCAGAUCCGAGCUAGUUGCUGGGCCGCUAGUCACCACUGUUCCGAGUCCCCUCGUUGGCGACCUCCGCCCACGACCAAACGACUUCCGCAUCUCUGUGCCCGGCCAGAUCUGGGCGAGCCUCGCCGGCCCAAGGCGACGGCCACCGAGGCCUCGCCUAGGGCUGGCGACGGUGGCCGGCCCCCAAGCGAGGGCCGGCGUGCCCAGAUCUGGGCGCCCUCGCCCGCGCCAGGCGAGGGUCGCGAGGGCUCGCCUGCACCAGGUAAGGGUCGCGAGGCCUCGCCUUGGUCGGGCGACGGCUGGCAACCGUCGCCGGCCCCUCCGGCGAUGGACGGCCGCCUCCUCUGCCCUUUUGUUUUUUAAUAGUUUUUUAAAAAAUGAAUUUUAGUUUUUAAAUUUAUAUUUUAAAAAAAAAAAUUGAAUAAAAAAUAAUUUAAAAAGCUAGCUGAAAAAUAAAAGAUAAUUUAAAAAGCCAGCUGGAAAAAUAAAAAAUAAUUUAGAAUGCCACGUCAGCAUUUUUAACAGAAAAUGCUAGCGGUGUUAGCUUUAGGACUCAAUUGAACUAUUUUGACAAGUUUUAGGACUUAUUUGCACUUUUUGCAAGUUUUAGGACUGAAAUGCAUUUUCGCGACAAGUUUUAGGACUUCUGGAACACUUAUCCCUAAAAUUUUAGUCGCCGGCUAUCCUGCCUAAUUUAUGGAAAAUAAAUAAAUAAAUAAAUUUCAAAAAUUAAUAAUUAAAUACUAAAAAUCCAAUUUAGGCCCGUAAUGCCUAAUUGAAGCCCGAGAAGGGUUGGGAAAAAUCCCGAGAUGCAUCCAAUAAAUAUUAUAGGCUAUUCUCUAGCUAAGUACACUAACCACCUAACUAAUAUGCAAUGCACUUAACUAAUAAUUACUAAUCCAUUCUAAUCUAACCACCUAAUUUUACUUACUUAACACUAAUCAACCAUUGAGCAUAAUUAAUCUACUAAGCGAUGAUUAGUGAGGUUACUCACUUGAUUAGUGAACGGGUCGGAUCAAAACGAUGAGGACGAUGCGGGGGUUGUUUCUUCCCAAAGCGGGCCUCAGGUUUGGGGCCCAGAAACACCUCAAAAUGGGCCAAAAGGUUGCUGCGAGACCCACUAACCAAGCUGCUGGUCUUGGCCGGUUGAUGGCUGAAAUAGCACUAGUUGAGGUGAGCAAGGCCGGCGACAACUAGGCAGAGCUCCGGUGGGGUUGAGGCGAGGCAUAUGGCGGUCCGACUGCUAAACAAGGCUGGAACAGUGAGAUGGGGCUAAAACAAAAUGCAGGAAAAGUGAGGGUUGAUUGGUGGACGUUCCUUCGCGGGCGUGAGGUAGCAACGGCGGAGAAGACUAACGAAAAUGAAGCUGUAGCGUUGAUUGAGGGGUGCGGCUGAACAAAGGAGAAAGAGAUGGAGGCUUGCGUGUGUGUCGGCCAAAUGGGAGUGAAAGUGUCGCAAAUGGAUGAAAGAAAAUAAAGAACAAAAGAGAGAAAGGAGAUGAGGUGUGUCGGCAAGAGAGGAUGAGAGAGAGAAGUAGAUAAGCUUGACUAAAGUCAAGAUAACGUGAGAAGGAAAAAUGGGGCACGUCAGGUUGUCGGUGGGGUGGUUCCGCACACGCGAGAAAGAGAGAGAGAGAGAGAGCGAGCGCAAGUGAGUGGGGGCAUUCGGCCAAGGGAAGGGAAAAUGAGAAUUUAAAAGAAAUUAUCCUAAAACCAACAAUUAUUGUCUCGCUUGCUUUUGUAUAGUCCAAUUUGAUCUCUCAAAAUUCCCAGGCUAAGGUACUUGAUCCUCACUUGUUUUUUUGCACAAAAUUUCCCUUAAACAACAAGUUUUGGGCAACAACAAUGGCCAUUUCUUCAAUUCCGAAUUUUAAUUUAUUUUUCUUUGGAAUCUGAUUUUAUAAACAAACAAAUCCGGUUGAGAUCCAAUUUGAAUUCAUAAAAAGUCCAAACAACUUCUAUUCAUCAAUUCACUCACAUCAAAUGCCAAAAAUCCCUUCAAAUUAGCCAAUUCGAAUUUCUAUUCAUUCUCCUAAUUGUGACAUGACAGAAUCUUCAAUUUCCGAAAUCGGAUUUGAAUUCACAGUUAAUUUUUGUUUGGCGCGUUUUUAGCGUGACUAACGUUACCGAGUAGUUUUCAGAACUUUUUAGGGUAAACAACCCGUGGUCGAUUUUCUUCAAGCCAUUAUGAACCCCACUCGACUCAAUGGCGACUCUCGAUUGUCGUGAAAAUCUCGAGGAUUCAAUUACGGGCACAGGGUACCAAAACGACAGUAAAAUAAAUUAGUGUCGGUCGAUGAGAAUUUCCCAAUUUAAUGGAAUCACCCACGAUCGGCCACACAUCUCAGUAGCACAGACCUAUCUCUGAUCUCAAAUCGAUUUUAACUGUGCCGUAAUGGCCUCUAAAGAUAAGCACGGUCAAGAAACCGAUUCCUAAUCAAAUUCUCAAGUCUAUUUGCCUUAAAAUCCUUAAUAGCUUCCCCAGCUAGUCUAGUUAUCUCAAGAGUGAUCAGUUUUGAGAACAACCCUAUAGGCGCAUCAAUGAAAUGCUCGAUUUAUUCAGUAGAAAACAUCAUUGAAAAUUUGGGAUGUCACACCUAGGAAGAGGACUAUAGGGCCUGUUACUUGGGGUAGGACGCUAACGAGGGUCGAUACCCAAAGAGGUCGUCGAGCGCUAGCUUAGGCUAGCGCUAGUGGAGUAGCACCACCUUAGGUUAAUGCUGGGGUAGCAGCCCCUGGUGAUCUUAGAAUCGAAGGGAUCAUGCAGGCGCUUGAAGUGAUGAGAGAUCUGAUAGGGCAGCAGGCCCAUAAUCAAGCCGCUACCGCUCAAGUGAUUGCUAUUGCUGCCGUUGCCACCAUUGCUAAAGUUGCACCCGUUGCUGCACUUGUCGAAGUUACAGUUGGGAAUGUAGUUGUGGAGAGGGAGAGACUAAUCCAUAAGUUGGUGGAGCAGUUUUUGAAGCUGAACACACCAAGGUUCACCGGUACCGGAGAUCCAGAGACUGCCUCACUAUAGGUUCAAGAUCUAGAGAAGGCCUUUGCACUGCUAAUGUACACUAAGGCAAAGAAAGUUGUCCUGGCAGUGUACCAACCGCAGGGUAACGUGAACACCUGGUGGAGAGCCGUUAGAGAUACAGUAUUUCCAAAAUGUGUGGUCUCGGUGUGAUACGCUUUCCUAAGAGUUUUCAAUGGCAAGUACUUUUCGGGUAGCGCUCGAGAACAGAAGAUGGAGGAAUUUCAAUGCCUCCGCCAAGGGAUGAUGACUGUUAACCAGUAUGAGGUCAAGUUCGUGGAGCUUUCUCAAUAUGCUCCGAGGUUGAUAGAGGAUCUAGAAGAAAAAGCUCGAAGGUUCAAGAAUGGCCUUCGGCUAGAGCUGAAACAAUCGCUGGUACCGUUGGAUCUGAAGGACUACCGCGAAGUGUACAACUAAGCUUAGUUGAUAGAGAGAAGCCUAAACAAACAAGCCGCCUCGUAUGGAUCGAGGUUUAAUUCAAAUUGAGAUGGGAAUGGAUAUAGGAAGAAGCCCAUGACCGGAGGAAGAUUCCAUGUCUUGCCCAAUAGGAAGGGUGGAGUUGGCAAGUUAGGGCCAAGUCAAAAUGGUACAUGUCGCUUUUGUGGAAGGCAACAUGGUACAGCUCCGUGCCGUCGAAGACCAGGCGUUUGUUUUGGAUGUGGCUAGUAGGGUCACAUGGCCAGAGAUUGUCCUAGAAGGCCAAAAGGACAACUGUAGUUACUGCCGCCACCACCGUUGGGUCAGUUUAGGGGUUUUGCACUGCAGAACGCACCACAGGGUGGACAAAACAGACCCCCAGCUAAAGGGAUAAUGUAUGCCAUCACCAGAGGUCAGGCAGAGGACACGCCUAACGUGAUUACAAAUACGGUUUUGCUGAACGACCAUGCUGCUUAUGCUUUAUUCGACUCUGGAGCGACUCAUUCUUUUAUUGCUAAGCAAUAUGUUAAGUUGAUGGGAUUAAGUCAUGAGUUGCUGGAGUUAGUGGUUAGCAUAUCUACACCGUUAAAGGAUAAGGUGUUGUUUGCAUUGGGUUGUUUUGGUUGCAAGUUAGCGAUUAAUGAGCGAGAGGCGAAGAUAGAUUUGUUAAUCCUAGUCAUGUGUGAUUUUGAUUUGAUAAUUAGCAUGGACUGGCUCACCAAGAAAAGAGCUAAGAUGGACUAUUACCGUAAAGUGAUUUAGUUUAACCUGUCAGCAGGUGAAAGUUUCAAGUUUGUUGGGAAUCGAGGAGGACCCUCGAUUACCAUGAUCUCGUCGCUUGAGGCAACCCGUUUGUUAGACGGUGGUUGUCAAGGUUACCUGGUGAUUGUUGUGGAUACGACAGUUGAGGAAUUGAAGGUUGAAGAUAUCUCAAUGGUGUAAGAAUUUCCAGAUGUUUUCCCGAAAGAAUUGACAGGCCUGCCGCCAGAGCGGGAGAUUAAGUUUGUGAUUAAGCUAGCGCCCAGGAUAGAGCCAAUCUUUAAGGCUCCUUAUCGGAUGGCGUUGUUUGAGUUGAAAGAACUGAAGGUGCAUAUGCAGGAAUUGUUGGAUAAUGGAUUCAUACAUCCUAGUGCAUCACCUUAGGGAGUACCAGUUUUGUUCGUGAAAAAGAAAGAUGGUUUGUUGUGCCUGUGCAUCGACUAUCGUCCACUCAAUCAGGUGACAUUCAAGAACAAGUAUCCACUCCCGAGGAUUGAUGACUUGUUUGAUCAGUUGCAAGGAGUGUCUUUAUUCUUGGAGAUCGACCUGAGGACAGGGUAUCAUUAGCUGAGGAUCAAAAAUGAGGAUAUACUGAAGUCAGUGGUUCGUACUUGAUACGGCCACUAUGAGUUCACGGUAAUGCUGUUUGGUUUGACGAAUUCAGCUGCUUUCAUGGAUUUGAUGAACAUAGUGUUUAAAGAAUAUCUGGAUCUAUUUGUGAUCGUGUUCAUCGAUGAUAUUCUGGUGUAUUCAAGGAGUGCUGAGGAGCAUGAGAAUCAUCUAAGAUUGGUACUGCAGACCCUGAGGAUUCAUCAGUUGUAUGCUAAGUUUAGUAAGUGUGAGUUUUGGUUAACUUGUGUCUCUUUCUUAGGUCACUUGAUUUUAGGGGAAGGAAUCUCCGUGGACCCAACCAAGAUUGAAGCAGUGAUCAACUGGCCAAGACCGACUACAGUGACGGAGAUCAGAAGCUUUCUGGGUUUAGUAGGGUAUUACCGACGAUUCGUGGAAGGAUUUUCAAUUUUAGCAUUGCCAUUGACUCGACUUCUGAAGAAAGAAGAAAAGUUUGUGUGGACAGACAAGUGCGAGUGUAGUUUUCAAGUGCUUAAGCAGAAGCUAAUUACCGUACCUGUGCUGACCAUUCCAUUUGGUCUUGGAGGAUAUGAGAUCUAUAGUGAUGUGUCAUUCAGAGGAUUGGGUUGCGUGUUGAUGCAACAUGGUAGGGUGGUUGCAUACGCUUCCCGUCAGUUGAGACCUCAUGAGUAGAAUUACCCAACGCAUGACUUAGAACUUGUCGCGAUCAUUUUCGCUCUGAAGAUUUGGAGGCAUUACUUGUGUGGAGAAAGAUUCCAAAUCUUCACUGACCAUCAAAGUCUCAAGUAUCUAUUUUCUCAAAAGGAGUUAACUAUGAGACAACAUCGCUAGAUGGAACUUCUGAAGGACUUCGAUUGUGAUAUCCUAUAUCACCCUGGGAAGGCGAAUAAGGUGCCGACACUUUGAGUCAAAAGUCUUUUGUCGUAUAGAUGAUGGUUAAGGAAUGGGUUUUACUCGAGAGAGCUCGAGAUUUGUUAUUCAAAUUUGAGGUAGGCCACCUUUUGCAUCUUAUGGCCACCCUCAGAAUUGAACCGGAUGUUUAGAUCAGGAUCAAGGCACUUUAGCUGACAGACCCGGAUGUUCAGAUCAGGAUCAAGGCACUUUAGCCGACAGACCCGGAUGUUCAGAUCAGGAUCAAGGCACUUCAACCGACAGACCCAAAUGUUCAGAAGAUUUUGCAAGAAGAUACCGAUAAGAGGAAGGCUGACUUUCAUAUUUGUUAAGAUGGAACACUGAGGUUUUGAGGACAAUUGUGUGUACCUGAUGAUGCAGAGCUUAGAGAGGAGAUAUUAUCGGAAGCUCAUCGUAGCAGUUACAGCAUUCAUCCUGACAGUACGAAGAUGUAUCAAAAUCUGCGUCAACACUAUUGGUGGUUUGGUAUGAAGGCGGACAUUGCCUAGUAUGUCGCCAAGUGGUUGAAGUGUCAGCAAGUGAAGGCACAUCAUUGUAAGUCAGGAGGACUUCUACAAUCUCUCGAGAUCUCAGAGUGGAAGUGAGAGCACAUUAUGAUAGACUUUAUGACAGGUUUGUUGAUGAGUAAGAGGGGAUAAUGAUUCCAUUUAGGUAAUGGUCGACAAACUGACGAAAUCGACCCACUUCUGGACUUGGAUAGGCAUGCAGAGUUGUAUGUACGCCGAUAGUUUGACUGCAUGGAGUGUCGGUAACAUUAACUUCAGACCGAGAUCCGAGAUUCACAGUUGCUUUUUGGAAGAGUUUGCAAGCUGCUUUAGGAAUGAAGCUACAGUGCAAUAUGACAUAUCAUCCUUAGACGGAUGGCUAAUCUGAGAGGACGAUUCAGACCUUUGAAGACAUGCUGCAAGCUUGCGUGUUGGAUUUCAAGGGAAGUUGGGAGGAACAACUUCACAUUGUUGAGUUCGCCUACAACAACAGUUACCAACAGAGUAUUUAGAUGGCUCCUUUUGAAGCGUUGUAUGGCAGAGCAUGCAGAACGCCCGUAUGUUGGGAUGAAGUUGGGGAAAGAAAGAUUAUAGGCCUAGAGUUGGUUCAGCAGUCAGUGGAUGUAGUUGCAGUUAUUAGGGAUAGAUUAAAGACCGCUCAGAGCCACCAGAAAAGUUACAUAGAUAAGCGCCGGAGACCACUGGAAUUCCAAGUUGGUGAUCACGUUUUUCUGAAGGUGUCACCGAUAAGGGGAACUUUGCGCUUUGGCAAGAAAGGAAAGUUAAGUCCGAGGUACAUAGGUCCAUUUGAGAUUCUGGAAUGAAUCGAGAUCCUGGCGUAUCGUCUUGCAUUACCGCCAAAGUUGACGCAAGUGCAUGACGUCUUUCACGAGUCGAUGUUGAGAAAGUAUGAGCCUUACUCGACCCACGUGCUUAAUUUUGAGGAAUUGGACGUGGAUGACUGAGUGUCAUACGUGGAAAACCUAGUUCAGAUUAUGGAUCGGAAAGAGCAAAUUAUGCGUACUAAGACCAUCCCAUUGGUCAAAGUAGUCUGGCAACACCACGGCACUGAAGGAGCAACCUAGGAGAGUGAAGAGUCGAUGAGACGUUUGUACCCUCACCUUUUUGUUUAAAGAUUGUAAUGGUUUAAAUUUUGAGGACGGAAUUUUUAUAAGAGGGGAAGAGUUGUGACAUCCUAAAUUAUGGGUUCUGCCUUCAAUUAAAUAAAUCGGGCUUUUUAUCGACACAGAUCAUGGUACUGUUAUGAGUAUGAACUCGUGAAGUCCGUGGUCUGGGUUGAUGUAAGGUACCUCAUUGAUACAGAUCAUGGUACCGUCGUGAACGAAAUGGGCAGAGAGAAGGUCCCAUACCGGAAUCUGAGAUAUUUCUUUAUGUGCCGGAUGUUGCUUUUGGAAAUGGUACAAUUGACCUGUGACAUCCCGAUUUUACAAUUCUGAUUUCAAUUGAAUAAGUCUGGCAUUUCAUCUUCGCGUCUAUAGCUCUCUUCUAUGAGUUGGCCACUCAUGAGAUAACUAGUCUAUCAAGUGAAGUCGUUAAGGAAUCUAAACACAAUAGACUUGAGAAUUCGACCAAGAAUCGACUGUUUGACUGUGCCAAUCUACAAUGGUCAUUGCGGCAUAGAUCGAUUAGAGACCGGAGAUAGGUUGAUUCGACAAAGGCAUGUGAUUAAGUGUGGGUGAUUCCACUUGAUUACACAAAUCUUGUCGAUCGGCACUAGACCGAUUUCUCUGUAGUUUUAGUACCCUGUGUCCGUAUUUGAAACCUUAAGAUUUCUACAACAACCAAGAAUUGCCAAUGUGUCGAAGAUGCACUUUGUGGCUCGAAAACAAUCGACCACAGGUCAAUUGCACGAAAAGUUCCUAAAAGCUACUCGGUAGAUUAUGAUGCGCUAAAGUCGCGCAAGAUUGAAAUUAACCGUGAUUUUAAAUCUGAUUUUAGAAAUUGAAAGUUCUACCAUGUCACAAUUUAUUUUAGGAACAUCGACUCAUGCUCAGAAGAUUUUUCUACAAACCGAGAUUUUUGGUAGAAAAAGCAAAGUAAGGCCGUUUUUGAUCGGGAAAGUCAGAGGGCCGCUUUUGAUCGCAUCUUUGGCCGUCAAGUUGGAUAAAUUGAUGGGGAAAAUUUAUGAGAUGGACAAGGACACCUUGAUGGAUUUAAUUGGGCUUCAAUUGGAUUUGUUUGGGUGAGAAUUGAUUGAAAUUGAUUGAGAUUGAAGUGGGAAAUGUAACAAAUUCAUAUGCACUAUGGACCCAACAUUUUGGACCCCUUAGAGCUUCUAGAAGAGGGUAAAAUGGUCUAGAAAAUGUUGAUGGAAGACAACACAUGGUGGGCCAUGUUUGAGGGUUAUGAGAGAGAGAAGUGGUCCCCCCAAGAGAGAACCGGUUUUCCCCCUUUCUCCUUGUUGCUUUCGUCGAGCUCCUCCUCCCUCUCCUUGUUGUGCGACGCCUCAACGGCCAGAGAGACUGCUGGAUCCAGCUAGCAGCACCGCCCAUCGUCCUUCGCCGCCAUCGUUUGCCGUCACAGCCCCGUCCACACCUCCACCUCCCUCUUUCCCUCCAGCUACCAUCGACUUCUUCUUCUUCUUCUUCUUCUUCUUCUUCUUCUUCUUCUUCUCUGUGUUGUUCGAAACCCAGCAACAAGCCAGAGAAGCCCUCGUCGUCGUCACGCGCCGCCGCUGGACCGCAUGUCGUCGUUGCUCGCUGUCGCAUGUCACCACUACUCCACACUCACGCGCGCUUGCCCAAUGCCUAGCCGUCUUCAUUUGCCUCUGUCCUUGCCUCCAGGAGACUAUUCGGCCAGCACUGACCGCAUAUCAGUCUCCUCCGGCCACUGUGCGCGCCCACCUCAGUUCAUUGGAGCUCUGCCUAGCCCUUGUCGCCCUUACUCACCUCAACCAGCCACCGUCUCCCCCUCCUUCGGCCUCAACCAGCAGUGGAUAGAGAGCUGAAGAAAUGGGUAUUUCAACAACUAUUUGGCCCGUUUUGGCCGGCUUCUCGACCCCGAAAGCUUGGCCUGCCUUGAGGAAAAUCAACCCCCACGACAUUCCCAUUGUUUUGGUCCGUUCAGCUCGUUAAGCAAGUGAGUUUAACUCACUAAUCCUUACUUAGAAGGUUAAUAAUGCUUUAAGGAUGCUUAGUUUAAGUUAAGUAAGUUUAGGUGGUUAGAUUAGUUUAGUUAAGUGUGGAGUAGAUUAAAGGGUGCGAUUAAUUUAAUGUAUGAUUAAUUAAGACUAAGUGGAUGUUUAGAUUAGUGUAAUCUUGUUUAGUCCUUAAUUAAUUAUUUUAGAUUAUUUAAUUUUAUCGAAUUUAUUUAAUUAUUUUAAAAUUUUUAUAUUAUAUAAUACUAAUAAAAUAGUAUUAUUUAAUUAAUUUUCGGAAUAAAUUUAAUUAUUUAUUAUUUUUUGUAAAUUAUUCCGGGAUCAUAAAUCGUCGAAAUUUCGUGUUGAUCGCUGUUAUGUAUUCAAAUUAUGAAUUUGAUGGUUGUAUAUUACAAAUUGAGUGUUAAUUGUGAAAAAUAUGGACUUUAUUCAUGAAAAUCCUAGGUGUCGGGUUUGACACCGAAAUUGAAUUUUAAGGAUUAUAUUAAACAGUGGGGUUUGAAAAGGUAAGAUAUUAGUUUUUCUGGUUCGAAAUUAACGUGCUCCCAUACACGUGAAUAAUUUCUUGAACGUUUUCAAUAUAAAGAAAAGAGGUCGGGAUUACUAUUUUAAUGGAAGUCUUAAGUGAAAUGCAAAGUGUCUUGGGCCGAGUAUGAAUUUAUUGUGUGAUAAUUAAGAGGACUUGUCUUGAGCUAUUAAGUUGGACUUGCCCCUAUAUGGGAUGCCCCAUAUAACGGAUGCGGGUUGCAAUAGAUUUUGGGCCCAUGCUUAUUCGGGAACACUGUUUACAUAGUGACGAAGCCGUGCUCCAAGGUGGGGAGAUGAUGCCUAGCUAAAUGCCAGUAGAUAGCCGAACCGCGAGUAGGUUAUGCCCAUGUGUGGCAGUGAGUAACAAUUGGAACGCAUGCUGAGUGUUGUUGAUGAGCCGGAUUAUGGAACGUGUCAUAAUGAUAUGGUCUUAUAAUCAGGACUCUUGUGGUUGUUGGUUAUCUAAAAGUUAUUGCGUUCCAGUUGUUUAAGUUCGUAACUCUACACAUGAUUGAGUGAUAUGAACAUGAUUAAGUGAUUUGAAUUGUGCUAACCUGCAGGAAGGAACUGAGGCAAGGUAAGUCCUCUGUGUGGUGUGGCUAGGCCAUCCUGGGGUGUAUUUCCAUUCUAAUAGGGGUUUAGGGAGUGAACUUACUGAGACAAUGUCUCAACCCAUUGCAGGCUUACAUUUUCAAGUCCCUAGUGGAUGGAGCGGCCAUUUCAUUAUGGUUGGCCUUAUGGAGUUACAGAGGUGAAGUUGAAGGAUUGGAGAUUGUGUUCGACUUGUAGGUCGUAGGACGGUCCCUUUUUAUAAGUCGGCAUUUUGUAGACUUUUGGUUAUAGACCUCUGUUUGUAAACUCCGUUAGUUUAUGUAAGUGAUUGAUUGUGAAAUUGCUUUCUGCUUUUCUAUCCCGUAUUUUAUUAUCAGGGAUUUUAUAAUACGUUUCCGCAUGUGCAUAUAAAAUGAAUGGGUCGGCGACGCGUCCUAGGAACGUCGCACAUUUAAAUAGACCAUGGUGGGAUGUUCAUGCGGUCGGGGUUCGGGGCAUGACACGACCCUCUAGGUGGUUCAGUGGUGGGCCCGAAUCUGUCGGAUCCAGCAUCCCCGGUGUAUUUUGAGGAGGGCUCAAAUGCUUGAGGAUCUAUAACACACCGAACCCCCCCCCCUUUUGCAGACCUUGUGUAUAUUGGCUAGUACUGUAUAUGACCUAGUUUGAUAUGUAUAUAUAAGUGUGUUGUGGUUUGAAAAAUUUAUGGCCCUACUUUUCUAUCACAUCUUGUUGUUGUCUGGGGAUUUAUUAUUCGCUUCCACAUGCACAUUAAAAUAAAUGGGUCGGCGACGUGUCCUAGAACAUCGCUAUAUAAUUGACCGUUGAGGGACGGGCACGCGCUCGGAGGAUCGGGGCAUAACAUGUAUUGACCCUUGCUAAUUAUUAUGGUUGAGCGGUCGAUUUCUGAUCAAAUUCUCUAGUCUGUCGCGUUUAUAUCCCUUAUAGAUUAGUUAACUCAUGAGUGACCAGCUCCAAGUAAAUGACCAUAAGCGUGUCGACGAAAUAAUCAUUGCAUAUAUCUGAAUUAGGGGUCAAAUUUCGGGAUGUUACAGUAUUAUUUGGUUUUUGCAAUUAAAAUCCACUAUAUAUCCCUUUUAGGCGAUACUAUAGAGAGCAGGGCAACCCCAACCAUGCCCAUAAGACAUGUGGACCCAUUGUGUAUUUGAAAGCAUGUUGAGAGGCAGCUGUUGCGAUCCUCCCAGACCGGUCCAAGGAAGACGGGUGCAAAGCUAUUUUCUAGUUAUGUUCGAGUUAAGGAACAACGGUCCUCAAUCAAUAUAGGUGUUGACACCUAAAUUUUGGCAACCCAAUUAGUUUUUAUUGCAUUAAAAAUUAUGGAUUAAUUUUUAACCCCUAAACAAAAAUAUAAUAUUAAAUUGCAUAGCAUACAAUUUUAAGAGCAUUUUUUUAUUAUUACCUUUGCAUUGGACCUUCGACGGAUGAGUUUGAAUUGGUGGUUCUAAGCUUUAAUUUAGCAAGUUGAACUAAGCCUGCAGUGAUGAAAAUUUGGCUGAACUCGUCACUUGUAUAAGUCCAUCAUUUCUUUAACGAGACAGAAAUUGACAUAUGCUUUGCACAUGCGAAAUUUUAAGUUAGGAAAUAUAAAGAGCAAUAUCAUAAUCUUGAGAAUUCAGUCACAAAAGAGCAACAUCCUGGGUAUAAUAUAUUCGGCCAAGUGCAGCUUGCAAUGAAUAAAAUAAACGUUCACGUGGUUGAAUGAAAGAAGGAAAGAAAUAAAUGGAUAAUAUUCAUUAAAUAAAAGAAAUUAAGGUAGAGGAUAUUGUGAACACUCACAUAUGGAAAAUAGAAUAUUGUGUCCCUUCCUUGAAACCUAAUUUUCUUGCUUAUAAAAAGGGAUGCAUAUUCACAGUUAGGGAGGCCACAACAUAGAAUACAUGGCCAUAAAUGGGGAGAGAAUGGCAAGGUUUACAGAGAAAGAGAGAGGUCUCUCUUCCGAAUCUCCCUCUUAGCCAAGACCCACUUGUCAGCGCCUCUUCCUGUUGGUCGAUCACCACCACUCCUUCCAUGAUGAUGUGAGGCUGCUGUCUCUAGCCGAGUUGUCUUGCCAACCAACGACGAAGCGGCCGCCACCACCUACACGAGAAACUUCUACAUGACCAAGAUUGAUCCCACAAAGCUCUAAUGUUUGUUUUGUCUUGUAGGUUUCUAGGCGAGUUCUAGCAAUAAUCCUGUAAUUCUAUUUGUCUUCGCUACAGCAACACAUCAGUCUUCGAUGACCUUUACAGCCUCCAAGCAAGACCCCGCAUGUGACAUCCUGAAAUUUUGACCCCGUCUUGAUAAAAUGAAAUAGGCUUUCACCGAUGCGCCUAUGGUCAUUUUUUUCUGAACUAAUUACUCAUGAGUUAACUAAUCUAUUAGGUGAAGCUGUUAAGGGAUAUAAGUGCGCUAAAAUCUCUAAAAGCUACCCGAUGGGUUAGAUUGGACUAAAAUUGCAUAUGGUUGAUUUUAACCACGAAAUUGAACAUGGUUUCAGGAAUCGAACGUUCGAGCGUGUCACAAUUCAUUUUUAGGAUUUUGUCUCAUCUUUUGGGAAAAUUCCGUCGAGCCGGGGAUUUUGCAGAAAAAUUCAAAUCGAACAAAAAGAAAUAGGAGGAAAUUCGAAGGGGCACCUUCAGUUGGAAAUUUGGUCACCAAAUUGACUUGUCAUGUGAAGAGUUGAAGGGAAAUUUGUGUGGGCUACUGCCAUGGACCUUUUGGCCAUCUAAAUGAAUUGUUUUGGUGAGAAUUGAAGGAAAAUAAGUGGAAAAUUCGUAAGGGUGGCUGCCAUGUGAAUUUUGGACACCAAAAGCUUUAUUUUUACAAGGAUUUGAAGUGAAAAUAGCCAUUGGAGGAUGGCUUGACUUCUUGGCUGAAGACUUUAGGGCAUAUUCAUCAUUAUUUGGAUAUGUCUCAAGGCUUCUUAGUGGAUGUAGCAUGGACUUUCAGCCCCCUCUCUCUCCUCCAAGUUUCCCUUCUUCCAUGCAUACGCAUCCUUCAGCCGAAACCUCUCCUGCCUUUGCUUUUUCCUCAUUCUCUCCUUCUUCACUAGCGUCCAACCCAUCUCACGUCCUCCCUCUCUCACGCCAACCGGCCCCUUUCUCUUUUUCCUCAUUCCUUUUUAUUUUUAUUUUUCUGCCCCCACUCUCCAUUCAUGCCAACAACAUCAGAACUCCACCAAGCUACCACCUUGCAUCAACCACCAACAGAACAGUCCACCCCUCACAUCCAGAACUCCUCCUAGCGGCCAAGACAAUUGCAUUUUCUCGCCACCAGUCCGUCCGUCAAUCCAACUUCGGCCAACACCCAAACUGCCUGCAUCUGCUUCCACCAGCUCGCUCCUAGUUGUGUCCAACUUGCCUCAGCUAAGCUCGGCCAGCUUCCUCCACAGAACUGAGCAAAGCAGAAUUCCAGACAAGCCGUGAGGCUUGCGAGGCUGUUUUCAGCGUCAUUCGGGCCUCCUUUAGAGCCGCUGUAGACACGGGAUCUCACCGCCAUCGCACUACCGUCGCCGUGGACCCAUUUAUUUGCUAAUCCUGUGAGUUUACUCCCUAAUCCUUGAUUAGAUUGUUAAUUACAUUUAGGAUGUUAGAUUAGUGUUAAUUAGCUUAGUUAGAUUAGUACUAAGUGAGAUUAGUCUUAAGAUGGAUUAGUGCUAAUCUAGAAUGGUUAGAUUAGCCUUAAGAUAGAUUAGUGUAGAUCUAAUUGGUGAGAUUAGCACUAAUGAGGAGAGAUUAGUCCAAUUCAGUGGAUUUUUCCUCAAAUCUCGUUUCUGGACUCGCCAUUUGCCAUUUUUGUGGAUCGAAUUGUGCUGAAAUUUUGAGGUUUAUUUCUUCUUGAAAAAUGUUUUAGAUAUCCUCAGAUAUACUAUAUAUUUUUUCCAAGAUUUUUAUGGAUUUACAAGAACAGGAUUUUAGCUUUGUCAUUUGCAAACAGAACUCCUGUUUUUACUGGAACUAUGACCUUUCAGGAUUCAAGGAAUUUUUAUCAACUCUUAGGGUUCGAAUUUAAAAAUAUUUUUUUCAUGAAAGUUGUUUGUCACUUCUUUUAGUUUAACAUAUUAAAAUUUCAGAUCAAAUGAACAAGUUUUGUAUCUCAAACCAAACUAAUUUUGGAAAACAGACUUUCUGGAAACGGACCCAGUUUUUGUACUGGAUUGAGCGAUUUACUGGGCAAAAUCUAGAAAGAUCUGGGUUAAGGUGUUUUCAUGAAAAUUUUCUUUUAUAUGUUCUUUAUAACAUAUUAAAAUUUGAGAAUUUUCUGAACUCGUUUGAUUAGGUUUUUAGAUUUAAACAUGGAAAUGCAUGAGCGGACGAUUUUUGCUGAUUAGGAUCGGUAGUAAUUUGUAAUUGUUCUUGAUGCUUUCCUUGCUAGAAAUUGCAUAUUUGGUGAUGUGGUUGACCUGUGUUAUGCUUGGAACUUGUGCGUGAUGAAACGUGAAUAAUUGUGCUAUGGUAAUGGUUUAUGGUCUUGGCAAAGGAUGGCCAUUGAAGAGCAAUAUGUGUUUAUGUGAUUAUGUGAUGGCCAUUGAAAGAUGAGGUGACAUAUAUUGUGCUGAGGAAACCAAAUAGGGUGUGAGCUAGUAAAGAAUUAAGUGUUACACGACAACGAAACCUCGUAUGAGCCACCUCUAGAAACUUGUACUGUUGCUUAUUGCAAUCAAGGGCUAGGUGCUACAUGGCAACUUGAGUCACAUGUGAGUCACCCAUAGAAGCCUUGCAAUACUAUCAAGCAUAGUAAAAGGCUAAGUGCUACACGAUAACUAAAUUUCAUGUGAGUCGCCUCUAAAACCUUGUACUAGUGCUAUUUGUAGUCAAGAACUAAGUGCCACAUGAUAACAAAACUCCGUGGGGGAGCAUCUCUAGAACCUUGAGUUUGAAUAUGGAGUUUGGAUAUUGAGAGUGAAUAUCGGGUGUGGAUUGAACCAUCGAUAUGAGUUAUCCGUGCCUGAUUAUGGAACGAAAUUAUGUGACACGGAAUGAGACGUGUCAUAAUGGUUUGGCUUUAUAAUCGGGACCCUUGUGAAUUAUUCGAUGAGUGAUAUAAUGUGUUACAACUAUUGAAUGCAUUUACUAUAUGCAUGUGUUUUAUGAGAUGCACUAGUGUGCAGGAAGGUGCUAAGACAAAGUAAGUUCUGAGUGGUGUAUGUUUAGGACGCUUCCAAGUGAAUUCUUGUCCUCAUCGGGGUUUAGAGUGUUGACUCACUGAGAUUUAUUCUCAUCCCAUCAUGAUUUACAAUUUUCAGGUCCUUAGUCUAGAAAUACUAGAGGGUGUCGUGGAGAAUCCCGAGCUAGAGUCGAAGGGAUCAGGAGUAGAGGUUGUCCGGUAGUUCUUUUAGGGCAGACUUAGGGUACAAACUUGUAGGACUGACUUGAAUUGUAUAUAAAGCGUGAUUGGUGAAAUUUGGUUGUCCUGCUUUUCUAUCCCAUGUUUGUUGUUGUCCGGGUAUAUGUUACGAGUUCGUUUCCGUAUGUGCAAUAAAAUGAUUGGGUUAGCAACGCAUCCUGGGAACAUCAUAGUUCUAUUAACCACUGAGGGAUGUUUGCACGCUCAGGGUUCGGGACGUGACACCACAGCAAUUGCAAUGAUCUUUAGUCCAAUGGUCAUCCAGUGACACUAGCAAGUCCAGUCCAGUGAGGCCCGCUGUUGCGCUCUUAUCAUGCCUCACGGCAUCCAAUUGUGCCAAGCUCUUCAUUGAUGCUUCAAACCAGUCCACCAGCCACCAUAGCCUUCUUGGAGGCUCUCCGUUAGUGACCAAGGCUACCACUGGCGAGCGUAGAUAUCUCAUGUAUCUUCUCUAAUAUUGCUUGUUUUAUUUGAAGGAAAUUCUGGGCUGAGUUUAAGACCACCUUUGGUCAACAUAGACGGGCACAGAGUCAUGGGAAAUUUAAUUUAAUGCACGAUCACACGAAACACAGAGUAACGCGAGUGACGAAAGAGAAAGGAAGAGAAAGGGAUUGCGGUCAAGACCCUCCUCGCAUACGCAGCGCUUUGUCGACCCCAAAUCCCUUGCGGAGAAUCCUGCUACUGUCCUUCCAUCAUCUACAGCCACUCUCGGUGUCUCCUUGCACCAGUUUCCUUUAUAGCCACUGCUGCUCAAACCAUGCGAACUUCCUAGCGAGCCACGAAAUUCACAUUUUUAUGGCAACAAAUUGAAGAAUUCUUGGCAAAGGCUUUCUAGAUCAGAAGAAUACGUGGACUUGGUCAAAAGCACCACGUCAGUUUGGAGUCCAGGAGUCUUCUUGAACUAAUCCUUUCUCUCAAAACUUCAGGCAUCCAUCAAAGUUCAUGCCUUGCACGCACGCACGCCCUUGUUCAUGUUCGGGUUUUGCUGCCACGAGUUGCAUUUAACCCGCAUCUAUCGCCAAGCUGUCCCUCCAGUCCCAACUUGCCUUUAUCAUGAGCUGCAGCGUGAUUCUUUCACUAUUUCUUUAAUUUUUUUUUUUUUUUUUUGCAGGUUAAGCUUUCAUGUGAAGAUGAGCAUAUAGUCAAGCGGUGAAAGGAAGAGAAGUACGUGAAACAAAGUUUAGUGGGAUCGGCUGUGGAUGAGGCCAAAUAAAAAGCACCCUUGACCAUUGACUUCAGCUUGUAAGAAAAGAGAUUGGGCUUUCAUUUUUUUAACUAAAAAAGAACACUUACUCCUGCAAAUAGGCAUCCUCUGCCAACGUCCGCGUUCCUUCGAGAUCACUAGCCGCAAGCUCUACCUCCGCAAGCACGCCCACACCGCGAGCUGUGCCCCCUCCACCUUCGAGUGCCACAACCCUUUCCCGGUCAUCUGUCGAGCUGAUUUCGUUGAGUUCAAAUUUGACAAUUUUACUUGCGAAAUUAGGUAAUUAUCUUAUCUAGAUUUGAUUUAGAUAUUUUACUACUUAAUAUAUAUCUAUUAGUAUACAAUAUGCAUAUUUGUGAGAGAUAGACAUAUCUCCCAAUUAAGAUUUAUUUCCUAAUUUGCAACUGCAUAUAAUCUUUGAUUCCACCUAUAAAGCUUUAGAUGGAAUUAUUGAUUUUGCGAGAAUCUUCAAAAUUGAUAUUUUGAUAUUUAAGGCGCAAGAUCAACUUAUCGGUUUUAUUCGCGAGACUACAAGUUUUUUUUUUUUUGGUCAGUCGAGACUACAAGUUGAUUGGAUGUUAUUUUCUUAGAUCUUGAGUGAUUUAGUGCUUGCUUUAAUUACUUUAUUUGUGCUGAAAACACAAAAACUUGCGCAACAUGUGGAUUAGAAUUAGUUUUGUAGAUAGUUAUGCAUGAUAUAAUAGUUUUGCUACCUUUUUAGGAUGCAUGUUUAUUAUAAUUCCGAAUUUAAUAAAACACCAAAAGUAUUUUAGAAUAAAUUGAAUUUUCUCCUAUAGGAUAUCUUGCAUGUUUAUAUUAGAGUAGUUAAUUAAUUUCGAAUUUUAAUAAAAAUACAAAAAUAUCAUGUGCAUGUCAUAUAUAAUUAGGUUCACAAAAAUGCAUGUCAUUUAGUAAUUGUUGCUAGGUCCAUUUAAUUAGAAAUUUUCCAUUAUUAGAAUUAGGCCAUUUGGUUAAAUUGCAUUGCACGUAGAUUAGAUUUCAUUAAACAAGAGAAAAUCCUAAAAAAGUCUGAGUGACUGCGUAUUAAUUAUGAAUCAUAUCUAGGGCUUUUGAUAUGAAUUUUGAGCUAACAUUGUAGUGUUUUCGUUGUUACAAGGUAAGUCCCGUAAUUUAUUUGUUGCUUUCUUGGGUGUUAAAUUGGUGGUUUGCACACUCACAUGAUCACCUCAUAUGUUAGGGAAGUAAAUUAAACUUAAUAAGCUGCCUGCAAGACUUUUUUCGGAAAAAGAGAAAGGUACCGAAAGGGCAUUAGAGAAAUUUAGCAUAAUCAAGUUCUCGAACUAAAAAUCUCUGGUUUGCAGAAGUAAAGUAAAUCUCACAUUACUUUACUUAGGUUUCUAAUCGGCCCACCAAAAAUAGAUUAGUAGCAACUCUUAAUCGAAAAAUCAUUUGCAUGUUAAUAACUCAAAUCUAAGUCGUGAAUUGGUAUGAGCUUAGGAAAGCUCGAGCUAAGUUUAGGCUUAGGGCUUGUUUGAUAACCAUCCAAACAGUGCCAGAUUCUAUCUUUUGUUCCCGGUAGUAGUUUUGGAAUAAAAUCGUGUUUGAUAAAUUUUUUAUUCCCGGGAACAGAUUUGGAGUAGAAUCAACAAUAAAACAAAGGGAUAAUUGCUAUAGAAGUCCUAAAACUUGUUAUGAAAAUGCAAUUGAGUCCUAAAACUUGCAAAAAUUGUAAUCAAGUCCUAAAACUUGUUAAUUUUUUUUCAAUCGAAUCCUAAAGUUAACACCGUCGACUUUUUUAAUGGAAAAUGCUGACGUGGCAUUUAAAAUUAAUUUUUAUUUUCUAUGUGGCUUUUUAAAUUUUUUUAUUUAAAUUAGAUUUAAAAAUUAGAAAAGAAAAGUUAAAAUUUAUUUUUUAAAAAGUUUAAAAAAAAAAAAAUGGCAGACUGCCCAUCACCGAAGUGGCCGAGGGUGGCUGGCCCUCACUAGCCUAGGCACUCUCACCCGAGCUUGGCGAGGGUCACCGGCCCUUGCCUAGGGCUAGGCGAGGGCCGGCCACCCCCGCCCAGGGCGGCAGCAGGCGGCGGCGACGAGGGAGGAGCUGCCUUUUUUUGUUUAAUAAUUUUUAAAAAUACAUUUUAACUUUUCUUUUUUAGUUUUUAAAUCUAUUUUUUUAAAUUGAAUAAAAAUAAUAAUAAAAAGUCAUGUGGAAAAUGAAUUUUUUUUUAAAUUCCACAUCCGCACCACGUGAGCAUUUUCCAUUCGCAAGUUUGACGGUAUUAACUUUAGGACUCAAUUGAAACAAUUUAACAAGUUUUAGAACUUGAUUGCACUUUUUGCAAGUUUUAAGACUCAAUUGUAUUUUCGUGACAAAUUUAAGACUUCUAUAGCAUUUAUCCCUAAAAAAAAGUUGAUUUUUUGUUCCCGGGAACAAUUCUAAAAUCAAGUCUACCUAAUUUUUUUUCUUUUUCCUCCUCUUUCUUUUGUUUGUGUUCCCUUUAUGUUGUUCUUCAAGUGUUGCUGCCACCACCAUUGCUAUCCCCCGCCGCCGCCGCCCCCCAUUGAACGCCAUCGUUGGCCGCCGGAGGCUCACCUAGCCAUGAUUGAUCUAUACUGGUCACUCAAUUUGAACCCAACCAUGAUCGAUCUCUAGGGACUCGCUACUGAAAUUAUACGGACGAUGAAAUCAACUUUGCUUGAGCUUAGUGUGAAGAGAACGGCAUGGGAGCGCACUAUUUAUAGGUCCGAGAGGAGGUAGCCCACGUUGAAUCGGAGUAUUUUCUAUUGGUUCCAAAGCCCCAAAGAUAUCUUUCUUCGUUGUGAUUAAGAGGAAAAUUAAUAAUUCUCUCUAUAAUAACUAAUAAGGUAUGUUCUAAGGUGCGAAGUGGGAGAGAAGAGUUGAUUGGGACAGGGCGUGAUUCUAAAAGCGGGGCUAUGGAUAAUACAUGAUGGUUAGAGUGUGGUGUAGUGAAUGGAAAACUUGUGGGCAUGCGAUUCGUGUUGCAUCUCAUCGUCUUAUACUGAUUAUUUCCCCGUGCCACAAUGGCAACUUCGUGUCACCCACACUAAAUGUUAACCUCGCUGAUGUACCUUAAUAAUCGAACCGAAGGGCUUGACAAACAAGGUGAAUGCACUCAUCAACCCCUCUUGCAUCGACGAAUUAGCUUGCUAAGACAGAUCAGCCGAUUCCUAAGGCUGUAAAAGAGUAAAGGGCUAUCGUAUAACCUUACAAAGAAUUUAAUUCAAUGCUGAAGUUGGAUGAGAACUAAAAGGUCUCAAUUCAAGUUACGAUUAACUGGCCACUUAGUCAUGUGUUUUCAAGGAUAAUCUCUUAUGCCUUUUGAUGGUGCUGUGAUUAAUUAUACCGAGUCAAUCAAUGUAUCCAACCACAAAUAUUCGAACUAAAGGUCUCGGCUAUCCUCCUUAUGGCACGUUCUGUGGUGCAUAACCUCUUAUCUAUCCCAUAGGUGGUGGUGGCGGUGGCUAUGGCUGUCCUCUUGGCCUGUUAGGACAAUCUCUGGCCCUAUGGCCCUGCUGACCACAUUCAAAGCAACAACCCGUUCUUCAAGGGCAUUGAUUCACAGGAUGUCAUCUUCCACAAAGACGACACAUCUCGGUCCUAUUUGGCACUGGCUUGCCAACUCCACCUCUCCUAUUUGGUGGGAUCUGAAAUCUACCUUCAAGCAUUGGCCUCUUUCCCUGACGAAUUCCUUCUCGAUGCUAAGUAAACCUCGAUCCAGACGAGGUGACCCAUUCAUUCAGACUCCUUUCAAGCAGUUGUGCCCAACGAUAGAUCUCUUGGUAAUCAAUCAGAUCAAACGGCACUAGUGGUUGCUUCAACUCUUGUCGAAGGCCAUUCUCGAACCUUCGAGCUUUCUCCUUAGAGUCUUCAAUCAGCCUUGAAGCAUACUGAGAAAGCUCUUGACCCCAUAUUGUUCAACCAUCAUUGACCCCUGACGGAGUCACAGAAAUUCUUCUAUUUUCUGCUCUCUUGCGUUCCUCGCAAAGUAUUGUUCAUUAAACAACCUAAGGAAUGCAUCCCAUAGCGGAACAACUCCAUAAGGAAACAUUGUCUCUCUAGCGGCUCUCCACUAGGAGUUGACAUUGCCCUGCAAUUGAUAUACUGCCAGGGUUACCUUUUCCGCCUCUAUGCACAUCAAGAGUGCAAAGGAUUUCUCUAGAUCCUGGAUCCAAACUGAACCGGCCUCGGGGUCUCUCGUACUCGAAAAUCUUGGCAGGCUCAGUUUAAAAAACGGUUCUACCAGCUUGUGGAUCGGUCUUUCUCUACCUAAAACUACGUUCCCAACUGGAACAUCGGCUGGUGCAGCGGCAGGUGCGGCAAUAGGUGCAGCGGCAAGUGUGGCCUUAACAGCGAUGGCAACAGUAGUAGUAGCGGCGGCUUAAGCGGCGGCUUCAACAGUGAUGGCUUGAUUCUGAGCCUGCUGAUCCAUCCUAUUCCCCAUGACUUCUAGCACCUGCAUGAUCCCUUUGAUUCUAGGAUCACUCAAGGUUGCUACCUAAGCUUUGACUGGAAGUGGUGUUACACCACUGGCACUGGCCUAUCCCGGUGCCCUAGCUCUGCCUCCUCAAGUAUCAACUUUGGUCAGCGAUCUAACCUGAGCUAAAGGCCUAACAGUUCUCUUACUUGGAGUCCUCUGCUCUGGCUCGCUCAUGGUUCAGUCUAUUCUACUAAAACUUGUCUUCCAAAUCCAAACUAGAUUAGAAGAUGAGCGACACACACACGGCAACCAAUUUUACCAAUCAUCUACCAUUGACAUACACCAGACAUGAAUUUAAAUAUCUUUCCUACCACUAUCCCAUAGUCCAUCGCACCUUAUCACUCCAAUCCCUAACGAACUUGGCUUUGAUACCACUUAAGCGGGGAUGUCACGCCCCGAUCCUCGAGUGCACGCCCAUCCCUCACUUGGUCAAUUAAUAGCGACGUCCCAGGAUGAUCAUCGACCCAUUCAUUUAAUAUACACAUACGUAAGCAUAUAAAAUAAUUCCCAAACAUUAAAACAAUGGGAUAGGAAAGUAGAACUAAAAACUCGAACCUGAAAAUCAACACACUUAUAUACAUAUACAACAAUUCAGUCAUAUAUAUACAUAUACAAGCCACACUAAAAGUUGGUUUCUACUCAAACAAGUUCAGCAACAACAAGUCAUCAGCAGGAGUGGGGGUCUCAAUCUUCAUAUGGAUCAUACUCCGAAUCAUCCUCGGGAUCCUCCUCUGACUCCUCCAGUUCCUCUUCAAGGUCCUCCUCUACAGGUUCCUCUUCGGGCUCCUCCUCCAGGUUCUCCUCAGGGUACUCCUCCUCUACGACCUCUCCUUCCUCCAUGCUUUAGUUGGAGUCUACUGCGGAUGGCUCGGGAGAGUCGGGGUCAUCACCUAGCUUAGGAUCUUUUGCAUCCACCACCAACCCAUCCUUAAGAUCAACCGUCCCCUCCCCAAAUGCUACCUCGAAAAUGAAUAUAGGCACAUCACUUUCCAGUACUAGACCCUCUCUUCACCCAUCAUGGUAGUGACGAUACCACAACCUAUACUCAUGGGGCCUUAAGACAUCUCUACCCACAUCCACCCAAACGGUGGAUUUCACUAACACAUACUCUAGACCUUCCGAGUGAGGGUGUAUCGGGAAGUGGUAUGCUAUCUUGGUGAUCUCUUCGAGUAUACCAAAAUGCAUGGGAGGACGAGUUGGUGAAGGUGCUACCAUCUAGGGACCUGAAAUGUUAUCCCACAAGGGGGUGAGACUACAUCUCAGCAAGUUCUACCCCACUAAGACUCAAUUAGUAAGCCAAUACGCCCUAAAUGCUGCCUAAUCACAACACGAGCCGAAGGAUUUACCUUAGCCUCAGUUCCACCCUACAAGUCAAUUAAUCAAUAAAUACUGGAAACCACAUUAUCCAAUCAAUUCAAAAAUUCGGAUCAAAUCAUUGAUCAAUCGACAUAGUCAAUUAUAUGUCGUUUUGACCAUUUCUUGGUCGGCUCAUCUAAUACUAUCUAUAAAGUCCACUCAUAUUAUGACUGCUCACUGCUAAGCUGAUAAAUAGAUAGUAUAGCUCGCUUCUAAGAUAAUCAAGUAUACUGUUCUCUACUAAGCUGCCGUAUCAAAGCUCGAAGGUUUAUAUAGUAUACCAACGAUACUUAAUCUAAGCUGAUAAAUAGUAUACUGCUUUCUCCUAAGCUACCAUAUCAAAGCCUGUAAGUUGAUAUAGUAUACUAACAUUGCGAUAAAGUAUACUAUUCUCUACUAAGCUGACAUAUCGCCUGUAGGCUGAUCUAGUAUACCAGUAUACUACUCUCUGCUAAACUGACAUAUCGCUCGUAGGUCGAUAUAGUAUACCCUCACAAUCAUACACCUAAUUCCAUCUUUUUAUCACUUUUGAUAAAAUAGCCGUGUGUGGGUACACGGUCGGCCUUAGGCAAAAUAUCAUAUUUCACUUUUGAACUUCCCACCAGUUUCAUCAGUCCCAAAAUAGAUUUUUGGCACCAUAGACCCACGCCCAGUAAUUUUCCAAACAAUUACCAAAAUUUAGGAAAAUAAUCCUAAAACCACAAUUAAUUCAAUUCAACACAUUUUAACACUCAACUAAAUAAAUAGAUCACAUCAUCACGAUCAGUAUAAAAUUCUAGUCGUCGGCUAUCCCAGCCUAAUUUCCGGAAAAUAAAUAAUUAAUUAAAUAAUUUCAGAAAAUAUUAAAUAAAUGCAAUAAAUCCAAUUUAUACCCGUAAUGCCUAAUUGAACACCGAAACGGAUUUGGAAAUUUUUUUAGAUUCGUUCAAUAAAUAAUAAUGCGAGUUUACUUGCUAAUAUCACUAAUCAUUUGCCUAACAUGCAUUGAUAAGUCACUAAUCUAAUGGCUCUACUCUAAUUUAUCCACCUAAUCACACUUAAUUAAAUCUAAACAAUCCAUAAGCAUAAUUAACCGACUAAGCGAGGAUUAGUGAGAUAAAUUUACCCGUUUAACGAACCGCUCGGUUUAAAACAAAGGGAUCGACGCAAGGCUUGACUUUCCUCAAGGCGGGCCUAGCAACCGAGACUCAGGACCACCUCAAAAUGAGCCUAAAAGCCUGUUGGAAACCCAGAAAUUCCUUCUCUGUUUUGAGCUGCAAAACAGGGAAAACAAAGCUGAACAAAGCAAGCAAGACUGGCGAAGGCGACGACAAGGCCCAGCGAAUGUGCGCGACACUUGCGCGACCGGAGGGGCGGCUUUCCGGCAACGAUGGCUGUGUGUGGCUUGCUCUAGCAGUUGUUGCUCCUUCUCUACUUGCUGCUGGCCAAAAAACAGGAUGGAGGGAGAGAGAGGCUUGGUUGGUUGCUUGGUGAGGAAGAGAGGAGCAAGAGGGGGGGCCACCAUGGCCAAAUUUUUCACAUGCUUGUCUCCCUUGACCAUUCUCAGCCAAGUGUGGUUCCUUGACUACCAUUCCUCCACCCAUGCACUCCUCACAACCCUUGAAGUAGUCCAUUUUGGCUAGGCAUGGAGGGAGUUACGAAUUUGCAAGGGAAUGGCUUCAAUUAAACACUUGUUCCUUCUCAAAUCAAUCCAAUUUGGCCUCAAUAAAUUCAAUUAGUAUUUCAAUUAUCAAAUAGGUAUUUUUCCUCACCAAUUGAUCUAUCUAGCAUCCCCAUUGUGCGAUCAAGAAUAAUCCUAGCCUUUUUUUGAACAAAAACAGUCAUACGCCGACUUUUUCACAAAAAGUCUUGGGUCGCAGAAAAAUCUUCUGAGACUAAGUCGACGUUCCUAGAAUUUACUAUGACAUAACAGAAUCUUCAAUUUCUGAAAUUGAACUUAAAUUCGCAAUUAAUUUCCUUUUAGCUCGUUUUUAGUGUGACAUGGGCUAUCGAGUAGUUUUUAGGGAUUUUUAGUGCAAAUGACCCAUGGUCGAUUUUCUUCGAGGCACAAUGAACCCACUCGACACAUUGGCGACUCUCGGUUGUCAUGAAAAUCUCAAUGAUUCAAAUACGGACAUAGUGUAUCAAAACAACAGAAUAAUUAGUCUAGGACCGGCCGACGAGAAUUUUCCAAUUUAGUAGUGUCGCCCACAAUUAGCCACACAUUUCAAUCGAACUGACCUAUCUCUGAUCUAAAAUUGAUUUUUAACUGUACUGUAAUGGCCUCUAAAGAUAAGCAUGGUCGAGUAGCCGAUUCUUGGUCGAAUUCUCAAGUCUAUUGUAUUAAAAUUCCUUAAUGGUUUCCUUGAAUAGUCUAGUUAUCUCGAGAGUGAUUAACUCUGAGAACAGCCCUAUAGGCGCAUCCAUGAAAAACCCGAUUUAUUCAGUAGAAAAUAGGACUGCAAAUCUGGGAUGUCACACGGCCUCCACCGUGACUCGGCAUCCGUUGACGUGGGGCAUUCGAACUUAAUCAGCCAUCGCCUCCCCAACUCUCGUUGGGUGACAGGUUCUGAUAGUGACCAUGUAAACACAUAUUUAGCCAAGAACACCAUGCUUUGCGUCUAAAUACCUCGUUUCCAAAUAAUGAACUUGGCCACUUUUUCUUCAUAUAAAAAAUCCCGGUAAAUAAUCGUGCGUGGUCACGUAUUUAAAAGCGAACCAUCAAACCUAGUGCGCUCCUAUUUUAAAACUUCACAGUUUGAUAUAGUACAUAAAAAUUGCGUCCGAAACCGACACCUAGCAUUUUUCUAUUUAAAUGCCCAUAAAAUCAAGUUUUGUAGUAAAACUCACAACUACCAUCAAGCAAUCAAUGGCACCCCAUAGCAUAUAUAAGUCACCCAAUUCACGCAUAAAUUCAUUCAAGAGAUGAAACGGCUAAUUCGUCACGAAUUACACUAAUUACGAUUAAUUAAAUAAAUCACGAUUAAUUAAGUUAAUCCAACUUAAUUAACUUAACCAUGACUAAUUAAUCUAACCAUGGUUAACUAACUAACCAAGGUUAACUAACAUAACCAAGCUAGUUAGCCUAAUUAAACUAACAACCUAACCAAACUAGUUACCACUAACCUAGGAUUAACUAAACUAAUCGUAAUUAACAAUCUAAUCAAGGAUUAGGGAGUAAACUCACAGGAUUAAGACGGUGGUGGGCUCACGGCGAUGGUGAUGAUGGCGACAAGGGGAAGCUCGUGGCCAAAGGGUGGGGACUUGGCUGCUGGGGUUGCUGGUAGAUCUCACCCUAUUGGUGCGAUUGUGGUGGCUGCUCAAUGAAGGAGUUGUCGGAUUGGAAGGGCGGCGCUAUUGGAUACGGGGAAGGGUGGUGAGGUUGCUUGCUGUGGUGGACAGUGGCUCGGUGGAGAUGUGCUGGACAAUGGUGACUGGGCUAUUGGAUGAGCGGGCUGGUGGGCUAGUGUUUCGGUGGUGCUGAGGUUGUGGGCAUGAGAUGAAUGGGGAUGAGGGCGUGAUGGUGGGCUGCGGUGGAUGUUGGGUUCAUGAGAGUUGGAGUGAUGAAGGUGGGUGUGAAAUGGUGGGGGACACGGCAACAAGGAGAUGGGAAAAACAUAGCCAGAUGGAAGAGAAGGAAACGUGAGGGAAAGAAAAUGGGAAGGAGGAAGCAUAAGGGGGAGUCGGCUGAACGGGGGUGAAUGCAUGAAGAGAUAGAGAGGAAAGAGUGGGAAAGAGAAGAGAGAACAAAGAAGUCAAUUGAGUGAUCAAUGAGAGCUUAGGGAAAAAUAUCAAGUCCAUCAUCACAUUUUACCCCAAAGUCUUCAUGCCCAAAAGUCCAUGGCUCAACCAAUGCCCAUUUUUCUUCUUAUUUCUCACAAAUAAACCAUUUUAGGGGUAGAAAAAAUUAAAUUCUUCGGCCCAUCCGAAUUUUCAUUUCUUUUUCUUUUGUUCGAAAAUCGUUUUUCCACAAAAUUUUCGAACUCGGCGAAAAUUCACUGAAAGAUGAGACAGGAUCCUAAAAAUAAAUUGUGACAUGCUUGAACAUCCAAUUCCUGAAAACUGAAUUCAAUUUCAUGGUUAAAAUCAACCGAACGCGAUUUUAGUACGAUAUAGCCUAUCAGUUCGCUUUUAGGGAUUUUAUUGCGUUUAACUCGUGCAUGAUAAUUUUCGAUUCAUAUUUGUGCAUCUCCAAAUCGUAAACAACCAUCGGUUGUCAUAAAAUCGUGAGGUUUAAAUUACGUGUCUCGAGUAUAAUAUCAAUAGAAAAUAGGGUUAUUGCCAUUCAACACGAAUAUCGCAAUCGUGCGGAAUCGCCUGCAAUUCAACUAUGCAAUUCCAUUGAAUUGAGUCCAUCGAAUUGAGUUAUAUCCAUUCGCUAAUCAAUUAUAACGGUGUUGUAUUGACCAUUGCCAAUUAUUAUGGUCGAGCGGUCGAUUUUUGAUCGAAUUCUUUAGUUUGCCGCGUUUAUAUCCCUUAAUAGCCUCACCUAAUAGAUUAGUUAACUCAUGAGUGGCCAGCUCCCAGUAAAAUGACCAUAAGCGCGUAGACGAAACAACCAUUCCAUAUAUCCGAAUCAGGGGUCAAAUUUCGGGAUGUUACUGUAUUGUUUGGUUUUUGCAAUUAAAAUCCACUAUAUAUCCCUUUUAGGUGAUACUAUAUAGAGCAGGGCAACCCCAACCAUUACCAUAGGACAUGAGGACCCACUGUGUAUUUGAAAGCAUGUUGAGAGGCGGUUGUUGCGAUCCUCUCAGAUUGGUCCAAGGAAGAUGGGUCCAAAGCUAUUUUCUAAUUAUUUUUGAGUUAAGGAACAAUGGUCCUCAAUCAAUACAGGUGUUGACACCUAAAUUUUGGCAACCCAAUUUGUUUUUAUCGCAUUAAAAAUUAGGGAUUAAUUUUUAACCCCUAAACAAAAAUAUAAUAUUAAAUUGCAUAGUAUACAAUUUUAAGAGCAUUUUUUUUAUUAUUAUUACAUUUGCAUUGGACCUUCGAUAGAUGAGUUUGAAUUGGUGGUUCUGAGCUUUAAUUUAGCGAGUUGAACUAAGCCCGCGGUAAUGAAAAUUAGGCUGAACUUGUCGCUCAUAUAAGCCCAUCAUUUCUUAAACGAGACCGAAAUUGACAUAUGCUUUACACGUGUGAAAUUUUAAGUUGGGAAAUAUAAAGAGCAAUAUCAUAAUCUUGAGAAUUCAGUCACGAAAGAGCAACAUCCCCGGUAUAAUAUAUUUGGCCAAGUGCAACUUGCAAUGAAUAAAAUAUACGUUCACGUGGUUGAAUGAAAGAAGGAAAGAAAUAAAGGGAUAAUAUUCAUUAAAGAAAAGAAAUUAAGGCAUAGGUUAUUGUGAACACUCACAUAUGGAAAAUAGAAGAUUGUGUCCCUUCCUUGAAACCUAAUUUUCGUGCUUAUAUAAAGGGAUGCAUAUUCAUAGUUAGGGAGGCCACAAAUGGAUAGAGAACGACAAGGUUUACAGAGAAAGAGAGAGGUCUCUCUUCCGAAUCUCCCUCUUAGCCGAGACCCUCUUGUCGGUGCCUCUUCAUAUUGGUCGAUCGCCACCACUCCUUCCAUGAUGAUGUGAGGCUACUGUCUCUAGCCAAGAUGUCAUGCCAACCAACGACGAAGCGGCUGCCACCACCUACACAAGAAACUUCUGCAUGACCAAGAUUGAUCCCACAAAGUUCUGGUGUUUGUUUUGCCUUGCAGGUUUCUGGGUAAGUUCCGACAAUAAUCCUACAAUUUUAUUUGUCUCCACUGCAGCAACACAUCAGUCUUCGAUGACCUUCGCAGCCUUCAAGCAAGACCCCACAUGUGACAUCCUAAAAUUUCGACCUCGUCUUGAUAAAAUGAAAAAGGCUUUUUAUCAACGCGCCUAUGGUCCUUUUUCUCUGAACUGAUUACUCACAAGUUAACUAACCUUUCAGGUGAAGCCGUUAAGGGAUAUAAGCGCACUAAAAUCCCCUAAAAGCUACCCGGUGGGUUAGAUUGGACUAAAAUCGCGUCUGGUUAAUUUUAACAACAAAAUUGAAUUUGGUUUCAAGAAUCGAUCGUUCGAGCGUGUCACGAUUCAUUUUUAGGAUCUCAUCUCAUCUUUUUGGAAAAUUCCGUCAAGCCGGGAAUUUUGCUGAAAAAUUCAAAAAGAAAUAGGAGGAAAUUCAGAGGGGCACCUUCAGUUGGAGUCACCAAAUUGACUUGUCAUGUGAAGAGUUGAAAGGGAAUUUGUGUGGGCUACUGCCAUGGACCUUUUGGCCAUCUAAAUGAAUUGUUUUGGUGAGAAUUGAAGGAAAAUAAGUGGAAAAUUCAUAGGGGUGGCUGCCAUGUAAAUUUUGGACACCAAAAGCUUUAUUUUUAUGGGGAUUUGAAGUGAAAAUAGCCAUUGGAGGAUGGCUUGACUUCUUGGCUGAAGACUUUGGGGGCAUAUUCAUCAUUAUUUGGAUAUUUGUCAAGGCUUCUUAGUGGUUGUAGCAUGGACUUUCAGCCCUCUCUCUCUCUCUCUCUCCUCCAAGUUUCCCCUCUUCCAUGAGUGCACAUCCUUCAGCCGAAACCCUUCCCGCCCUUGCUUUUUCCUCAUUCUCUCCUUCUUCUUCACCAGCGUCCAGCCCAUCUCACGUCCUCCCUCUCUCACGUCAACCAGCCCCUUUCACUAUUCCUUUUUAUUUUUCUUUGCUACCCCCACUCUCCAUUCAUGCCAGCAACAUCAGAACUCCACCAAGCUACCACCUUGCACCGGCCACAAACAGAACAGUCCACCCUUUACAUCCAUAACUCCUCCCAAUGGCCAAGACAGUCGCAUUUUCUCGCCACCAGUCCAUCCGUCAGUCCAACUUCGGCCAGCACCUGAACCGCCUGCAUCUGCUUUCAUCAGCUUGCCCCUAGUCGUAUCCAGCUCGCCUUAGCCAAGCUAAACUAGCUUCCUGCACAAAACUGAGUAGAGCAGAAUUGCAGCCAAGCCGUGAGGCUUGCGAGGCUAUUUUCAGCGUCAUCCGAGCAGUUGCAGCGAGGAGCUCCGGUGUCCCUGCAGCGCCCCACCGUUCGAAGCCUGCGACCCGACGACCCACGGUCCGCGAUCCGCGCUCCAGCUCCAUCACCCCUCCUUUGCUCGCAAAGUUGCCGUCGCUGCCAAGCCGAGAUCCAGACAUUGGAGCUCCUCGCUGCGUAGCUUCCCCCACGACGCCCCCUUGCCAGAGUCCUCUGCCAGUGCCUUGUCUCGCCCAAGAUCCUCGCUAGAGAUUCCCCCAAAACCAGUGGCCAAGAUUUCUUUUUUUUUUCUUUUUAAAAGAAAAAAAUUAAAUUAGGUAUUUUUGCUUUACUUUAUUAGGCAAGUUUAGGUUUUUUUUAUUUAUUUCUUAUUAUUAUAUCUUUAUACUUUGUUUUCUUCAUUUGAAAUACUUCUUUAUGCAUAAUUGGAAAUCCCAAUAUAUCACAUGAUUCGCAACCGCGCUAGGGUUUUUUUAUUUCAUCUAUAAGGCUUUAGAUGAAAUAAUUAAUCAAGUGGGAAUAAAAUUGAUAUUUUGAUCUUUAAGGCUUAAGAUCAAUUUAUCGAUUUUAUAAGGAAAAAUUACCCCUUCAUCUAAACGAUGUGUGAUAUUUUUGAUGAUUUUGAAUGAUCUGUCUUGUCUUGAUUGCUUUAUUUAUUUUGAAAUGUGGUUGAGUUAGAAUAUUGCAUGCUUUAAGGUUAUUUUCAUAUUUAGAUUAAGCAUUUUAUUUAUCAUGGAUUAUCGAAAUAAAUAAAUAAAACAUAAAUUUAGGAUGUUAGAUUUUUGUUUCAUUAGCUUAAAUUGCAUGUCUAAUUAUUUGACAUUUUUUAUUUUCGAAAUUAAUUAAAACCAAAAAAAAACAAAAAUCAUCAUGCAUAUGUCAUGUAAAAUUAGGGCAUCCUUUGUACGUCAUUGCACAUUAAGAUAAAAUUACAUAUUUCAUUUUAAGUUUAGAUUGAUUUAGAUAUAUUGCAUCUUAGGUUAGAGAUUGCUAAGUUAAGAUAAUAUCUUGGUUUAAAUUAGGGCUUAACUUGACCUAAUCCUUAAUAUAAGUUGGAUAGAAUCUUAAUUUAGCUAGAUAAUUUUCAUAUUUUUCUAAUUUCGAAUUUCAUAAAAAAAUACAUUUUUUUUUUUUUAGGAUAAGUUAAUUCCACUUUCUAGGAUAAAUUGCACAUUUAUUAAGAAAAUACAAAAAAUGUCGUUGCAUGUCAUAUAAAAUUAGAUUCAUGAAAUGCAUGCCAUCUAGUAAUUGUGAUUAGGUCCAUUUAGCUAGAAAUUGUCUGUCAUUAGGUCAGAUUGCAUGCAUUGCAUGAAGCCUAAUUCUCAUUGAUUAAGCAAAAAAAAAAUGCGUGUUAAUUAAAAAUCAUAUCUAUGACUGUUUAUGAGAAUUAUGAUCUAACAUUGCAGAUGCUUUUGUUCCUUUGAGGUAAGUUUUGCAAUUUAUUUAUUGCUUUACUUGGGUGUUAAAUUGGUGGUUUGCACACUCGUAUGAUCACCUCACAUGUUAGGGAAAUAGAUUUAAAAUCAACCCAAACUGUCUACAAAUUUUUUUUUAAAUAAAAAGAAAUUAUACCAAAAGGGCAUUAGAGAAGUCUAGUGUAACCAAGUCCCCAUACCCAAAGUCUCUGGUUCGUAGGAGUAAAAUAAUGCUCCAAUUAUUUUACUUAUGUGUCUAAUCGACCUACCGUAAACUGAUUAGUGGUGACUCCUAGAUAAAAUCCAUUUGUAUGUUAAGAAAUUUGAACUUAAGUCGGGAAUUGGUAUGAGCUGGGGAGAGCACAAGUUAAGUCUAGGCUUAACAAUCCAUUAACCAAACUUUAGGUGGUGCACUUGAAAAUUUAGUCUCGACAGCUUGGCAACUCCACUGGGGACUUAAGUUAAAACUCUUAGUGGACUUAGACCAAUUUUCUUUUCGAAAAAAUAUUUUUGUUUGGUAGCAAGGAUCACAGGUACGUCCCUAACAUUUUAGGUGUUAAAUGUUCUCGCAGGAUGGGAGGUAUAAAGGGAAGUGUUUGCUAACCUUUGUUUUGUCGGGAGGUGUAGGAAUGUAUGGUUUACUUUCAUAUAUGAAGUGCUGCUUGAUAUAAACUGUUGUGCAUGAUUUGCAUUUUGCACUACACUUUUGUACACACAACCUAUCGCUAGACCUAGGCCGCACUAGGAUACAUAGGAUGGCAUUAAGUUGGAUAUGACUUCGACCGCGAGACCGCGUAGUAGAGGUUGCCCGACUCAAUCCCGAAAUAUUUUUCUUGGUGUCGGGAAUGUUUACCUCUACCCGCGAGACUGCGUCGCAUUGGGGUAUCAUUCUUAAGUAAGCCGAAGUUAAGAGGAUUAGACUUAGUAUGCGAGGCUGUAACUAGUCAUCCCACCCUGCUAACUUCACCUUGCUAAGCUUGUCUAGAGUAUAAAUCGAACCCCACAUUUUAUGUGUUUGUCUAUGUGGUUGUUGUCGAUUUUUCUUGGUGAAGUAAGUCUUCUAUCCUUAUACCAUGCAGUUUAUUUUGUCGUGCUUUUAGUUUGUCCAUGACAAUUUAGGUCAAGCAUUGAUUUUACUCCUUUGUCAAUUAGAGAUGAAAUGAGGAAAUUGUCAUGUAAUGAAUCAUUUUGAAAAAAAAAAAUGGAGAAUUUGUUUUCAAUUCAUGUUUAGGAAAUUUAAUCUUGCUAUGGUGUAUAUUAUUUAGCCUUUUUUUAGGAAAUUUCAUUAUUGUACGAACUUUUCAUGAUUAAAUGAACAAAAAAUCAAUUAGAUUAUUGUCAUGGAUUGACUUUCUCUUUACACCUCAUGCUUACAUGUUCCCGUUCAUUUGAAUUAGGUGAUUAUGGAGCGAUCCUGCUCACCCAUCCGUUCACAAUUGAGAGCUAAAAUGACGGAUCAAAAAGAGCUUAUCUCGUCAAGCAAAAGUGCCGCGAUCUAUCUUCACUGAAAAAUUGCAACUAGAAGAAAGCCAAGAGACUUUUGAGCCAUGUCAAGCACACAUGAUUCGUGAUCAUUAUUUUCUUGGCCUAGUAAGAAAGCACAUGCAAAAGGCACAUCGGGUUGUGAUAAUAGAUCAAUUGGCCCAACUAUUACUCAACAAGUUUGAGAACACAUUUUUUAAAGACUUAAUCAAAUGAGGGGCAAGUAAAAGAGGACCAUCAUUCUCUGGCGGAAGAGGUAUGUCUCGUCUUUGAACAUAAUUAAUUUUGGGAAAUCUCACUCUAUUCUUUUUCUUGCAAACGACAAAUUGGGGGCAUGACAGAUUUUGGGGCAAAAGCAAGAAUGGAGUAUUCAUCAAAUCAAAGAUCGGAUUUUCAGCCUUGAUUGAUAGAGACAAUCCAAGGACAUCCAUUGUUGAGGCAAUCCUUUUGUGGAACAAUCCCCUGAAUGAAAGCUUAAAAUCAUGUUUGAGUGCAAUAAAUUGUCGAACUCUUUUCAAAAGAGAAUUUCAAUAGUGAUUUUGCCUAUUUAACUCACCAAUUUCAUGUGGAGAUUUGUCAAGAUGGACAAUUCAUUGGAGUAAUAUCAAAUGCUUAAGAAUGUUGAAUGAGACGUGUCAGGAUGAUGAAAGGCAAGCCUUAUCCUAUACACAGUCCCGUACUUAUACACUUGUGAGAUGAGUGUAGGAAAUUUCAUAUCCACAAGAUAAAGAGUUCUCUCGCAAAAAGGUACGAUGAUCGAAAUGAUAAGAGGCAAUUCAUUUCUCUAUCCCAAACACUACAUAUGAUCCGUUGCUUAACUUCUUUAAGCCCCAUAGAAUCACCCCACAUCAGGGCAACUGCGAGAUAAAAUGGCAUCAUGAGGUGAGGAAAAUGAAAAGAAAUUUUCUUUCUUUCACUUGCAUCAAUCUUCAAGUCAUGCUAUCACAUUGAAUUUAUGUGGUAAUUUAAGUGCCUUAGGAUGACGAAAAGCAUUUUUUUUUCUCUAUCCUACAUACUUAUAUCUUUUGCAUAGCCCGCUUGAGCUUACAAUUUCAUUUCUUUUAAACCUAGUUGGUGAUCAUCCCCCACACUAGGGCAAGCCAAAAGACAGAUGAAGACCCUCGAAAGUUCGAGUGUCAUUCAAAGUGUAAUUCCUUGACGCAUGCAUUGUGCGCAAGAAUUGAAAUCAAAAUAGAACUAAGGGGCAUGAAAAAGCAGUGUGCGUGGUAAAAGCAAGGCCAAUGCGCAUGAAAAAGAAGUGAAGAAAAAAUACAUGAAAACUAGGGGCAUGAAAAAACGGUGUGCCUGGUAAAAGUAAGGCUGAUGCCCAUAGAUGAAAAUGAAAAAAGAAAAAAGUCAAGAGAUGUGACUAUCAAUCAUAUAAGGUUACGCCCCUCAUGGAGCAGCAUUCAAAGAACACAAAUACCGAGCUUUUACAGUUAGUGGAGCACCUUGCCAAGACGAUCCCUGGUGAAAAAGAAAAUUGGUGGCAAUGCUAAGAUGAUCAUCAACUCUCACCCUUUACACACAUUUUGAGCCUCAUGAUCCUUUCAUUUCUCAACCCAUGAACUCAGCCUAUGUUACGUCCCGUACAAAGUCUCUUCAGAUUAGGGCACUUGAAUUAACAUGGGAGUUCAUAUGUUCUCAUUUUGCAAGGUUCUUGACUUGUAAAUCCGGAGAAGAUUACAAAAUGUUCUUUCAAUUGCCUUGACUCAAAGAGUCCCUUUGUUAAGCCAUUGACCAAGCCCGCAUUACGGUCCCUAUUAAAGACCUCUCAGAUUGGUAGGGUCGUACUGCUUGCGACAAUACUCGGACCCUUGUUGGUAUGAUGAUAGUGAGAUUGAGUGAUUCUCAUAAAAUAGCCAUUUUAAAUGAGAGGGAGCGAAAAUCCUUUCUAAUUGAAAGUCUCUCAUUUAGUAUUCUUAGAAAAUCCAUGUCAUGAAAAUUGUCUUGAACGAUAAUUCUCUCCAAUGGAAAUUUGGGUGAUGUAAAGGUCAUCAUGCAUGAAUCCCGAUUGAAUUGAUAAAAACUUCAGUGGAUUUUGAAGUGUGCAUUCCAUAAUAGCCUUAAUUGCUUAUUUCUUUGGUGAAUGCAUUUUUGCUCUAUUCAUGUUUGACAGAUAAUGUUUUCUCAAAGACCCAAGAGCUCCUGACAUUCAGGUUCCUUUCAAAAUGCCUCAUGAUAUUAGGAGAUGAGAAACCAUCACGAAAAUUCAAGGUGCAUCCUUGAUGUUCCAAAAUUUAUUUCCACCAAGAGGUGAGAAGCCUCCACAAGAUAUCUAAGUUCCAGAAGACAUAUCCUAAAAAAUCAAAGAUAUCACCAGGUAAGUAUAUCUCUACCAAUACUCUAAAUACUUGUCAAUGUGCAGGUAUUCUCUCUCAAGUGCAUUGACACUUGACUCGGUCAAGUUGUCCAUUAUAUUAAUUUGGCGUGCUUUCGUAGCCCAGAGUUCCUUUCAUCAACCCAGCGUGCUUCUGUAACCCGGUGUCCAUUAUAUUGACUUGGCGUGCUUUCAUAACCCAAAGUCCCUUUCAUCGACCUAACGUGCUUUCGUAGCCCAGUGUCAUUUAUAUUGACCCGGUGUGCUUUUGUAGCCUAGCGUCCGUUUCAUCGACCCGGCAUGCUUCCGUAGCCCGGUGUCCUUUAUAUUGACCUGGCGUGCUUUCAUAGCCUAGUAUCCUUUUUCAUUGACUCGGCGUGCUUCCGUAACCCAAUGUCCCUUUUAAUAGACCCGGCAUGCUUUCGUAGCUCGAAGUUCCUGACCUGGCGUGCUUUUGUAGCCUAGAGUCCCUUUUAUUAAACCGAUGUGCUUUCAUAGCUCGGAGUUCUUGACCUGGUGUACUUUUGUAGCCUAGAGUCUCUUUUUAUCGACUCGGUGUACUUUCGUAAUCUGGUGUCCCUUCAUAUUGACCUGGCGUGCUUUCGUAGCCUAGAGUCCCUUUUAAUAGACUCAGUGUGCUUCCAUAGCCCGGUGUCCAUUUAUAUUGACCCGGCGUGCUUUCGUAGCCCAUGUUCCCUUUUAUCGAACCGACGUGCUUCCGUAGCCCGGUUUUCUUUUAUUGACCUGGCGUGCUUUCGUAGCCCAGAGUCCUUUAUACCGAUACUCAAUUGAGUUGUUCCCCAAAGAUUUUUCUCUAGAUUCAGGUUCAGGUUCUGGUCAGAUGAUCUUUGUUGCAAGACUGGGCGACCAAAUAAAGGUUUGGGUCCUAGCCAAGAAAAACCUCAAUUCAAGCGACUGUAGAAUGAUACGGGUUUUGGAAAAUCAUUUUUUUCGUCAAGUUAACCGUAGAAUGGUACGGGUCCUAGACAACAUUCAAGCAACUAUAGAAUUGUAUGGGUGCUAGACACAACCCAAACACUGUCAUACUGGACGACUGUAGAAUGGUACGAGUCCUGGGAAAAUAGUCUCUUUGUGAAGCCAUGUUACUAUUUUGGGCGGUUGUAGAAUGGUACAAGUCCUGGACAUAUAACACCAAUCUAUCUUGAGUUACUCUACCUUCCUCGAAGGUAAGUUAUUCUAGGUAGGUUCCUUUAUCAUUUGCAUUAGCAUUUUCAUGCAUCACAUAAAUUGCAUUUCAAAAUGGGAUUCAUUUUCCCAAAAAAAAAAAAAAGGUUCACUCAGUGCAUGUGCAUGAUCAAAAUUUAGGUUUCAAUUUGUUUUUGAAGGUAACCUCUACGAGCUUACGUUCAAAGAGGGGUAGCUGUUGACACCUAAAUUUUAGCAACCUAGUCAUUGAUUUUUUUGCAUAAAAAUUAGGAUUUAAUUUUAACCCCUAAAAAAAAAUGCAUCAGAACAGAUAAAAUGAAAAAACGGAAAAAAUGGGAAAAUUGAUUUGAUUGAUUAUGCAUGGAAGUUUGAAAUUCUGAUGAAUAUUCAGAUUUUGAUAAAUGCAGAAACAAUUAAAAAUCAGGUGAAUAAAUGGUAAAGAUUUUGAUAAAAUGGAAAGAAUAAACUAAAAUCGAGCUGAUUGUGAAAUCACGUUUCGAUUUGUGGCUUUGAUUUAAUACAAUAGAAGAUAGAAAGUCAAAAGUUGCUAUAAAAAUGGCUGUCUGAAAAUCACUAUAAAAGGAGCCACAAUUCUCGUGACUGAGGGCAAAAUAGGUGAAAUGUUGAUUUUUUAGAGUAGAAUUUCGAAAAAGGAGAGAGAGAGAGAGAGAAAACCGGGACUGUUCAUCUUCCCGAGGGUUCCCCCCCCCCCCCGACCUCGUCGGCGCCACAUCUCCUCGGUGACCCCCCUUUGAUCGCAUCGGCGGCCGAGCCGCCGACCUUUGCCAGUUGUAGUCGCCGACCGCUGCCCCCACGCCGCCGCAACCACACCACCAUCAAUCUACCUCCAACGCAUCCGCCAGCCCCCACGAGCAGCACCGUCGCCUCGUUAAUCCAUUGCCAAAGCUGUAACCCGAAGCUCGUGCCGCCCCGAUGCCCCGCCGUCGUUGCUCGCCCUCUGCAGCCCCGACGCUGCCUCCGCUCACCGCCUACUGAUCCGAGAUCUCCACAACAACUGAUCCAGAUCUGAUGCCAUCCCUGCCUCCUCAUCCCUGCUGCGACCCAACGACGUCGUUACCCCAGAUCUUCCUCAUCGGAUGCAGCACCCUAUAGCUAGAUCCAGAUGCUAGAGCUCCUCACCGCAACCACCCGAGGCCUCUUGCCGUCCCUACAUUGCCCCACCAUUCGAAGCCCACGACCGGACGACCCUCGGUCUGCGAUCCGUGCUCCAGCUCCAUCGCCCCUCCUUUGCCCACAAAGUUGCCGCCGCUGCCAAGCCGAGAUCUAGAUGCCGAAGCUCCCCGCUGCGCAGCUUCCGCUGCGACGCCCCCUUACCGGAGUCCUUCGCCGGUGCCUCAUCUCGCCGAAGACCCUCGCCGGCGAUUCCCCAAAAACCAGCAACCAAGAUUUCCUUUUUUCUUUUUGUUUUAAAAAAAAGAAAAGAAAAUUAAAUUAGGUAUUUUUGCUUUACUUUAUUAAGCAAGUUUAGGUUUUUUUUUAUUUCUUAUUAUUAUCUCUUUAUAUUUUGUUUUCUUCAUUUGAAAUACUUCUUUAUACAUAAUUGAAAAUCCCAAUAUAUCACCUGAUUCGCAACUGCGCUAGGGUUUUUUAUUUCAUCUAUAAGGCUUUAGAUGAAAUAAUUAAUCAAGUGAGAAUAAAAUUGAUAUUUUGAUCUUUAAGGCUUAAGAUCAAUUUAUCGAUUUUAUCAACAAAAUAUUACCCCUUAAUCUGAACGAUGUGUGAUAUUUUUGAUGAUUUUGAAUGAUCUGUCUUGUCUUGAUUACUUUAUUUAUUUUGAAAUGUGGUUGAGUUAGAAUAUUGCAUGCUUUAGGGUUAUUUGCAUAUUUAGAUUAAGCAUUUUAUUUAUCAUGGAUUAUCGAAUUAAAAAAAAAACAUAAAUUUAGGAUGUUAGAUUCUUGUCUAAUUAUUUGAAUUUUUUUAUUUUCGAAAUUAAUUUUAAAAAAAAAUCAUCAUGCAUAUAUCAUGUAAAAUUAAGGCAUUCUUUGUAUGUCAUUGCAUGUUAGGAUAAAAUUACAUAUUUCAUUUUAAGGUUAGAUUGAUUUAGAUAGAUUGCAUCUUAGGUUAGAGAUUGCUAAGUUAAGAUAAUAUCUUGGUUUAAAUUAGGGUUUAGCCUGACCUAGUCCUUAAUUUAGCUAGAUAAUUUUCACAUUUUCCUAAUUUCGAAUUUCAUAAAAAAAAUACAAAAAAUGUCUUAGGAUAAGUUAAUUCCAUUUUCUAUGGUAAAUUGCACAUUUAUUAAGAAAACACAAAAAUGUCAUUGCAUGUCAUAUAGAAUUAGAUUCAUGAAAUGCAUGCCAUCUAGUGAUUGUGGUUAGGUCCAUUUAGCUAGAAAUUGUCUAUCAUUAGGUCAGAUUGCAUGCAUUGCAUGAAGCCUAAUUCUCAUUGAUUAAGUGAAAAAAAAAAUUGUGUGUUAAUUAGAAAUCAUAUCUAGGAUUGUUGAUGUGAAUUCUGAUCUAAUAUUGCAAAUGCUUUCGUUACUUUGAGGUAAGUUUUGCAAUUUAUUUAUUUCUUUACUUAGGUGUUGAAUUGGUGGUUUGCGCACAUGCAUGAUCACUUCACAUAUUAGGGAAAUAGAUUUAAAAUUAACCCAAAUAGCCUACAAAUUUCUUUUUUGAAAAUAAAAACAAAUGGUACCGAAAGGGCAUUAGAGAAGUCUAGUGUAACCAAGUUCUUGUACCCAAAGUCUCUAGUUCGUAGGAGUAAAAUAAUUCUCCCAUUAUUUUACUUAGGUGUCUAAUCGACCUACCGUAAACCGAUUAAUGGCGACUCCUAGAUAAAAUCCAUUUGUAUGUUAAGAAAUUUGAACUUAAGUCACGAAUUGGUAUGGGCUUGGGAGAGCCCGAGUUAAACCUAGGCUUAACAAUCCAUUAGCCAAACUCUAGGUGGUGCACCUGAAAAUUUGGUCGUGACAAUCUCGGUUUGCAGAAAAAUCUUCGGAAGAUGAGUUGACAGUCCUAAAAUGAGUUGACACGACCAAACUUUCAAUUUUUGAAAUCGAAUUCAAAUUCGCGGUUAAUUUCAAUCUGGCGCGAUUUUAGCGUGACCUAACUUACCGAGUAACUUUUAGAAAUUUUUGGUAUAAUUGAUUCGUGGUCGAUUUAUUUUGAGUCACAAUGUACAUCUUCAAUGCAUUGACGACUUUCGAUUGUCGUGAAAAUCUCAAGGUUUCAUAUACGGACACAGGGUACCAAAACGACAGAAAAAUCGGUCUAGUGCCGAUCGACGAGAAAUUUGCAAUCUGGUGGAAUCACUUUGAUCACCUAUCUCGGUCGGAUCGACUUAUCUCUGAUCCCUGAUCGAUUUUUAACUGUGUUGUAAUGAUAUCUAUAUAUGAGCACGGUCAGGUAGUCGAUUCCUGGUCGAAUUAUCAAGUCUAUUGCAUUAAAAUCCUUUAAUGGCUUCACUAGAUAGUCUAGUUAUCUCAUAAGUGAUCAGCUUAGAAAAUAGCACUAUAGGCGCGUUGAUGAUAUGCCCGAUUUAUUUAAUUGAAAACAGGACCGAAAUUUCAUAAUGUCACAAUUUAGGCUUAGUAAUCCAUUAGCCAAACCUUAAGUGGUGCGCUUGAGGUUAGGUUGCGACAGCUAGUUUCUCGCACAUCAAUGGGCAGCAGAAAAAAAAAAAGAAUUCUACAGUUUCGUGCAAAAAAAAAAAAAAAACAUAAUUUUUUCCAUGUUGAUAAGACUCGAGAAAUGUUGAAAUUUGCAGAAAUGUUGAUGAAAAAAGGACAGGUCGAUCUCAGAAUUUAGCACAGUUGAUUGGGACGUUAAAAAAAAUUUAGUUUAGAAAUUAAAGGUCAUUUAUAUAAAUCCCAUAAAAUGUGCUCAAACGGGAUACUGUAGGUUUUGGCUACCUACGUAGUCAUAAGUUAGGACUUAACCGGGCUUUGAGACUUAAAUUCUAUUGUUUGAUUUCGGCUCAUAUAGUAUCUUCAUCCAUUUUAGCUAGUCUUUUAAUAUCGUGAGAGGCCUUAUUAGGAAGAUACAUGUAUAUUUUCAAUAUAAACAACUAUCUAUUUCUUUCCUUUGAUUAGAGACGUAACGCCAUUUGGCAAAACUGUUUAAAAGCAAAUAUCAAAACAAGCAUGUCGUGAGAAAAAAAUUAGAUGAAAUUUCUUACGAAAUUAGAGGGAAAUUGAAAGUGGUAUUCAGGAAAAUGCUAGAAUGCUUUCAUAGGAUGAAUCACCAAUGAUCCACCGCUUUAAAUGAGGUACAAAGUAUGUAUCCUUGUUGCCAUCCACGCUCAAAAGGACGGUCAUGUCCAUCACCAAAAGACAAGCCAAACACUCACUACAGAAGACACAGAGUACCACGAGUAAUUCCAGAUUUAUUUGAGAGAAGAACUUCCGGAAUUAAGCAUAAGCAUCCGGGUUUUGGAGGAGGUAUGCUUCGACGGCUAUGUAUAUUCCUAAGCCUCUCUCUCUGCCAGCCUUGAUUUCUUCUUCGUUGAGCUGAAAAUUGCCCUUGGUGUAGUAUGUGCUGGCUAUCCUGCUCUUGCUCCCGCCGUCUGGUGUCGGCUCGAAAUUAACUUCGUAAGCAAUGGAUUCAAACUUCUCCAUCAAUUGACUGCCUUCAAUCAGUUUGUACACACACGUCAAUGUCUCUUCAUCUAGCAUAUCUACUCGGCUCUUAAUGAAACUGAGUUCCCUACCUGCGUAUGAAAUGGGAGAUACGUACUAAUUAGAUUUGAACUAAUCACAGAAGACAAAUAUCUUUAGGAAAAUUUGCCUGAUCAAACAAUAUAGCAUCUUAACAAUCAUCGUGUUUUUCUUUUUGAUGGGCCAUCUUAUUUCUAUGUCAUUACUUACGAAAAUGUGCAAUUCCAUUACACAAGAUUGGGAGUGUCAAUACUUAAAAACACCCGAAGAAACUUUACCUUCAGUGAAAUUGAUUUGCAUAAUGGUUCCGGCUCCUCCGUCGCCUUGGACGAUGUCAAUGCUCCCGAUAGCUUCAGGCAUGAGCUUGGGGAUAAGGUUGUGGAAGUCCCCAAUCAAGGCCCUAAAGAAUCUCGCCGCAGGAAUGGGGGAACUGUACUCAUCACUCAAUUUGAACACAACCAUGAUCGAUCUCUAGGGACUCGCCACUGAAAUUAUACGAACGAUGAAAUCAACUUUGCUUGACCUUAGUGUGAAGAAACGGCAAGGGAGCGCACUAUUUAUAGGUCCGAGAGGAGGUAGCCCUCGUUGAAUCGGAGUAUUUUUUUAAUGGCUCCAAAGCCCCAAAGAUAUCUUUCCUCGUCGCGAUUCAGAGGAAAGUUAAUAAUUCUCUCUAUAAUAACUAGUAAGGGUAUGUUCUGAGGUGCGAAGUCGGAGAGAAGAGUUGAUCGGGGCAGGGCGUGAUUCUAAAAGCGGGGCUAUGGAUAAUACAUGAUGGUUAGAGUGUGGUGUAGUGAAUGGAAAAACUUGCGGCCAUGCGAUUCGUGUUGCAUCUCAUCGUCUUAUAAUGCACACUUUCUCGAGAAGUCCACUUAAUCCGAGAGGAUUCUUAAACUGAUUAUUUCCUCGUGCCACAAUGGCAACUUCGUGUCCCCCACACUAAAUGUUAACCUCGCCGAUGUACCUUAAUAAUCGAACCGAAGGGCUUGACAAACAAAGUGAAUGCCCUCAUCAACCCCACUUGCAUUGACGAAUUAGCUUGCUAAGACAGAUCAGCCGGUUCCUAAGGCUGUAAAAGAGUAAAGGGCUAUCGUAUAACCUUACAAAGAAUUUAAUUCAAUGCUGAAGUUGGAUGACAACUAAAAGGUCUCGACUUAAGUUAUGAUUAAUUGGCCACUUGGUCAUGUGUUUUCAAGGAUAAUCUCUUAUGCCUUUUGAUGGUGCUGUUAUUAAUUAUACCAGGUCAAUUAAUAUAUCCAACCACAAAUAUUCGAAGUGUUUGCAUGCGAGUUGUUGUCAAGGCUUUGUCAUUUCUUGAUCAAGAGAUGCUAAAGAAUAUAUUUCGUGCUUCAUUGUUUUCCCAUUAAAUGCUCGCUCCAAUUUGAAGUUGAACAGUUGGCUUCAUAAGUUCAUAUAUUGCUAUAACUGGAAAGAAAAGAAAAGAAAAGAAAAAAUAAGAUGGAUAGCGUCAAACAGAUCUACCAAGAGCUAGAAUCGUUGUAAAUUCAGCAUAGUUGACUAUGAUCAUUAAUAGAGCAUAUAUAUACUCAAUCACAUAAACUCGUUACAAAUUUAUAUAGAAAUAUUUUAAAUAUCUUCACCUCUAAUCUAGUGAUAGAACUAUUUGGGUUACGACUACAAUGCAAAGAAAGGCCUAAUCCUAAUCAACCUUUCUUUUGAAUCACAACAAUAUACAUUAUACGUCAAUUUUAAAUAGAUGGAAUUCUCUAACAUUUAAUGUCUCGAAGCAUCAAAUGCAAUCAAUGGAAGGAACAAGCUAAGGGAAAAAUGCUACCCAUGAAAAAGUGCAUCCAAAUUUCUUCAAAUGCAUGAAAAUAACUUCGUUUACUAAUUUGCAACGUGUAUUUGAUAUAUGCAUCGCCGCAACAUUAUUAUACCUUAACUGUGCUCCGAGGCACUUUUUAACAAGGCAACGUGCUAUAGUAGAAUUGGAGAAACUUUAUUGUAAUAGCAACAACAUUAGCACUCUCAAUCAAGGAUUUCACAUAGAGAAGACCACAUUAUAAUUAGCAGAACUUAAUUGGUCCACAAAGAGAGAUGCAGAAUUUGCUUCAAACAGAGACAAUAAUACUAACAAAAGCUUUUAGGCAGAGGCCUCGGGGUUGGCGAAGAGAUAGGCCUCCGCGGCCUUGAAGACGGCCAUGGCCUUCUCUUUCCCGGCUUUGAUCUCAUCCUCACUGAUCACAAUGCCUGGUUUUGGGUGGUAGUUGCUCCUGUUCGUGCCCUCACAGCCCCCAUCGGGAGAUGCCUCCAUCUUGAUAUUUCAUAAGAGCUCGACUCGAUCUUGUCAGCCAAUUCGCCUCCCUCCACCAUUGUGCAGCUGUACGUCAUCUUCUCGUUGCCCAGUGCAUCGACUCUGGCUUUGAGUACUUCAUUUGACUGCCUGUAUUUAAAGGGCAAUUACGGAAUUAAAGUUGUCAUUAUCAUUAGGUGUAUUAUCAAGAAUCUCUCGACUCUGGUUAAGCCUUGCGGUAAAUAAUGAGGUUGCAUCCUUGUGUCGAAGAAGAGGACAGUCAAUUUAGGUCCUUCAAACCUCAAGAUGGCAUUCCGAUGAGAAAAUGUCCACUUUACCAUUAAAUGCUGGCUCCAAUUUGAUGAUGAACAGUUGGCUUCAUAAGUUCACAUAUUGCUAUGACCGGGAAAGAAGAAAAAAAGAAAAGAUGGAUGGCGUUGAUCAGAUCUACCACAGGCUAAAAUUGUUGUAGAUUCGGUAUAGUUGACUAUGAUCAUUAAUGAUAGAGCUUAUAUACUCAAUCACAAAAACUCAUUACAUGCUUAUAUAGAAAUAUUUUAAACAUCUUGACUUCAAAUCUAGUGGUAGAGCUCUUUGGGUUAGAGUCACAAUGCAAAGAAAGGCUAAAUCCAAAUCAAACUUCUUUUUUUUUUAAAUCACAAUGAUAUAGAUAUUACGCAUCAAUUUUAAAUAGACGGAAUUCUCUAAAAUUUAACAUCUCAAAGCAUUGAAUGCAUUCAUUGGAAGGAACAAAUCAAAGGAAAAAUGUUCUACUGUAAUAAGUACAUCCAAAUUUCUUCAAAAACAUAAAAACAAUCCUGUUCACUAAUUUCCAAAGUACAUCUGAUGUAAGUUACAUUUUAGCAAUUGGACCCUCUCUUAUAUCUUAUAUCCAACGAGAAUUGGUGCCUUUCAGUGAGCAACUAGUACAAUCUUGGGAUCAAGCCUUUUUAUUUGAAGUAAGCUCCUUGGCCAGCUUUCAUAGCAGAAGGGUAAUUCUCCAGUAGCUCUUCCACCCCCUACUCUCCAUGGGAAUUUAUCUUACAGUUCCCAACUAUAGUUGCCACUCAAUGUUGAGUUUGAAAAAAUGCCAGAAUAAGGACAAGGCAAUGGACUAUGAGACUCUAGCCGAGAAUUCAAAUUUGAAGGAAUAUACAUUGUUAAGGGAAAGUCUAUGGAGGCUCAAGCAAAUCAAAUAGGUAUGGAGCUUAAUUAUGCUAUUACGGAUUGUUUUUUUUUUUUUUUUUUUUUGAGUAUCUUCGCUUCAACACCUUAGCCAAGUCAAGUAAGAAGACUUGGUUAGGGGUCUACCUCAUUUAUCACCACACUUCUCAACAUGCGAAGGGCUUUAGCAGCUAGGCAAGCAACACCGUAGCCCUUUGAAUCCAAGUGACAAGCCCCUUUAUCUUAUAUGGAAAUUAAUGAAAUGUCAUCUAAGUCCUCAAAAUCAUGAGCUUGGGACUAGAAAUGCAGAGGAUUGGCUUAGCAUGUUAAUCUGCUCUCUCGUAGAAGGAAUGGAUGGAAGAUAACUUGCAAUCACAAUGGUUGUAACAAAGUUCUUGAUGACAGGGAACUACAUACGAAGAUGGCACUAGUUAGAAGGCCUUAGGACUUAAGCUGGCCAAAAAUAAACUCUCCUCUCUAUUAGAUUGACCUUCCCAGAUGGAUUGUUCCAUAGCUUGCUUAUUAAUAUGUUGGGUUACGCUAGUUGCAACAUCAUUAUAUCUUAACCAUGCUCCGAGACACUUUAUAACAAGGCGGAAUAAUAUAAUUCAUAGUACAUGAAAGAGGAACUUUAUUAUAGUAGCAAACCGAUUAGCACUCUCGAUCAAGGGCUUCCCACAUAGAGGACCACAUUAUAAUUAGAAUCGUCCGCGAAAAGAGAGAUGCAAAAGUUGCUUCAAACAGAGACGAUAAUAUAAAUAAAAAGUUCUUAGGCAUAGGUCUCGGGGUUGGCCAAGAGAUAAGCCUCCACGGCCUUGAAGACGGCCGUGGCCUUCUCUUUCCCGGCUUUGAUCUCCUCCUCAUUGAUCACAAUCCCUGGUUUUGGGAGGUACUUGCUCACGUUUGCGCCCUUACAGCCCCCAUCGGGAGUUGCCUCCAUCUUGAUUUCAUAAGAGAUCGACUCGAUCUUGUUGCCCAAUUCGCCUCCCUCCACCAUUGAGUAGCUGUACGUCAUCUUCUCCUUGUCCAGUGCAUCGAUUCUAUGCUUCACGAACUUCAGAGGACUGCCUGUACUUAAAGGGCAAUUGUGAAAUUACUAUUGUCGUAUUUAUUAGGUGGAUCAUCGAGAAUCUUUGUACUCCGGUUAAGGAUAGGUACGAAUACGAUUGAUCUUCAUUAUCUUGCGGGUAAAUAAGGAGGUUGCAUCCUUGUGUUGAAGAAAGGAGUCCUUCAAAGCUCAAGAUGGCAUUCCGAUGAGAUAAUGUCGAUUUUGUCUAAUCAUACUUCAAUUUUAUAUUGUCUUACCCCUCUUUUUUACGUACAUGUGAGUGCAAUGCUCACAGGGACCCAACCUAGGACCCAAUCCUCCCCCUAAUCCUUCUACCAGCGGGCCACAUGCCUGUUGGCAUCAUACCUCAAUUGACUCAUCUAAUAUUGGAUAUUCCCCCCUUUUACUUGCAUAACAAUCUUCUAACUACUUAAGAAGAAAUAGUGCUAAGAUACAUCAUGCAAGUAAUUAAUCACUAAAGUUGCCUCACC
RNAcentral lists this long non-coding RNA (78292 nucleotides) under Eucalyptus grandis. RNAcentral describes it as "long non-coding RNA (EGRA_LNC005204)". Lineage: Eukaryota; Viridiplantae; Streptophyta; Magnoliopsida; Myrtales; Myrtaceae. The record is from RNAcentral.